GGGGGGGGGGGUGUGAGACAGCAAGAUUGAGCUCACAUACGUUCAUCGCUCAACAAGUUGUGGGGAAUAAUGUGGCAUGAACUCACCAAAGGUGGGAGUUCAUGAAGUGUAAGGCUGAUCAAUGAAAUAGAGGCUGAAGCUGAGCAUUGCUUUUAUAAGUUGGUCAAAAUUUUAUUAGCAGUUACUAAGUGUAAGUAAGUACCAAACCAUAGUAAUAAUAAGUAAAAGUAAUAAUAAAAUAAUCCCAAAUGCAAUGAAAUGACAGAUUAAGUUUAAGUUCCAUAAAUUAAUCAUGUGAGUGUCUGAGCCGCUCAUGACCGUGAGCACGGCUAGUAUACCAAUUUUACACUCUGCAGAGGUUGCGCAUCUUUACCCACAAGUCGUGUUACCCAUUUGCCACAGAGUUGAUCAGACUCCAUACACCUCUACCGAGGAAGCGAGGCAGGGUACCACUACGAGGCCUUUACAAAGUUCCACUAGCUUCAGACUACCCGCUACAGUUUAUAGGAAGCUCCAGUGCAGGGUUCUUGCCUGACCGCCAUCGCAGCAAAUCAACCCAAGGACCUCCCUACACUGACCACUCCCCUACUGCCCUUGCCCCUUUCGGGUAAGGUAGCCCUCCACUAGCUUUCCUAGUUAAUCAGCCAAGGGCGCCCAUUAAACCCUUGUGGUAGCACUGUUUUCCCGGGUGGUUCUCCAUGUUCCCAUUAACAUAAUGAUCUUAUCAUGAACAUAAAAUAAUGAACAGAUAAUAGAAAGUGUAAUCAUGAGUCAUAAAUAUCUUUAUACCCAAAUCCACAUAAAGCAAUAGCAUGUACUACCCAAAAAUUUAGUAGUAAAACCAGUGGUGAAACAAGGUAUGAAGAUAGUCAAAUCUAGGGUAACCUAUUGGGUCCCAGCAAAAUUAACCUAUGCAGAUCAUUAUGAUUAAUAAGAACAUGAAUGGGUAAAAGGAGUGAUCAAGGGCACAACUUGCCUUCAACGAGCUCCUGCUCAGCUACUUCUACUUGUUGAACCUCAGAUUCCACAGUGGCUUGCUCGUCUACUCACAUCAACACAAUACAUACAUAGUAUAGCAAAAAUUAACAUUACAUCAAACAUGUAAAUAAAAUAUACAGUAAAAAUCUAGACAUUAAAAUGGAAUCAUAGGAACUGGAAUCAUUGAAUUUGGAGUUAUAUAUUUUAAGUUAUGAAUUUCCAAAGAUUUUAUGCAUUUAAUAUAGGGUUAAGUGAGAAAUAAAUUUUAAUGUGAAUUUCAUGUGAAAACAGUGGUACUAUUUGAUAAAGAAUAAUAUUACAAAGUUAUAGGAACUGGAAUGAUUAAAUUUGGAGUUCAUAUGCAUUUUCUACAAUUUAAACAAGUUCUAACAUUUAUUUAUGCACUAAAAAUUGAUUUCUGAUAUUAAUUUCUGAUUUUCAAUGCUCUCUGGAUUGGGCCUCAAAUUCCAGAAAGCGCAGGGGUGUUGGCGCAAAAGAUCCUAAGACACAGACUAGCCAGGGAAGGACUGCGGGUUGUUUUCUGUUUUUCCGAGGGCUCUUUAGAAAAAUGACCAUCGCGUAGGGGUAUCGGCCACCAUGAUCCGUUUGAUUAGAAGCGAACGGUCCAGAUUUGCUCUGUUAUUAAUUGAACCGAUACACAACCCAGACCACUGGAUCUGGACCUUACGGCCCAUAAUCGCCCUAAGCAUCCGCCGUUCGAUCCACACGAACGACCCAGAUCUAACCAACGAAUCGGUACGCCUAGAUUCACUCACAACCGUGGAUAAGCCAAUCAACGGCGCACGAUGUUUACUCCCCUAGAUCUAAUCCCAAGCGCUCCUUUCCCAUCCAACGGCCAUCAGCCCCCCCUUCUUCACCACCACACCAGCCAUGGCGGUGAAAACGCCACCACGGCGGCGCUCCCGCCGGCGAGGGCGCACCAGGCGCAACGGUGUGCCAGUUUCAAAUCGGAGGAAGGCUACAUGAAGCGGACAUGAUGGUGAAGAGUUUGGCGGCGCUAUUACCUCGUGGUAUGCAGCAGGAUGCCCUAGCCACGCCAUGGGGCGGAUCCGCGGUGGCGUAGACGCGACGACGAGAAAUUAGUGGGGCACUGGUGGUUUUCUUCGCCAAUGGAGGCCCCUGCUAGCUUCGGUAGACGCUCAGAAACCCACCGGUGCAACACUACGGCCCCGAACUCGCCGCGGCGUGGACCAAUUUGGCGGCGGCGGCAGAACAAAGUCCCACAACAGCGCACGGUUGAGUGGUUAGGGACGACGGACGCGGGUAUGGGGUGCAAGACGUGGCUUGAUCUAGCUCGAGGAUUAGCGGAUGAGGAGGGGAAGUCCACAGGUCGUCCGAGUUUUAUCCCCAGCUUUCGGGCGCUCGGACCCGGUCUUCACGCGUGGAGGUUGAACAGAGCGCCCGCGAGAGGAGGGAGACUAUCCUGACCGGUGGGGACCACACGACAGAAGAGAGAAAAUGCCCCGCCCAACGCCAGAGUGGCUGACUGAUGGGCCCCGGUUGACAGUCGGUCCCGCAGGUGGGCGCUGCUGGCUUAGGCGGGCCGCGGAGCCAAGGGGGAAGAGAAGGGAAGUGGGCCGCCGGUGGGGACAAUUCGCCCAAGUACUGUUUUUCUAUUUUCCAUCUCCUUUUCUUUUAUUUGCCUUUCUUUUCCUUUUAGAUUCUAAAUUUUGAAUUCAACUUUGUGAUGAAUUUGUCGUCAGUUUUAAAUGUGCCAUUAAAGUACUGACUUUGAAGAUACAUCUUUAUAUAUGUUUUAUGUAAAUUUUAUACUCUUUCUCUUUCUUUUCCAUUUCUUUUCUUUCCUUCUCUAUUUCAAGCCAAAUUGCUAUUUGGGUUUCAAUCCACAUCUCAAAUUAAUAUAAUAUUUUUAUUCAUCUUACUAUUUUAUUAAAUGCACAAGCAAUUGAACUCCAACAUGAUGCACCAUUCUUUUAUUUAGUAUAUUUAUUGGUAGCCAAGGUUAAUCCCAUGAUUUGAAUUAUGCAAAAAUGAGAUUAACAACACAAGUGGUCAAAUGGACCCUUUUAUAUUUCUCAUUUCCUGUACAUUCUAUUACUCUUCACUAUUUGGGUAUUACAAAUCCUACCCCCCUUAAAAAUAAUCUCGUCCUCGAGAUUUAGGAAGGACUAGGGAAAAGAUGGGGAAAGUCUAUGCGAAGCUCUUCUUCUCUCUCCCAAGUAGCUUCAUCUUCUCCGUGGUGACUCCAUUGUACCUUGCACAUCUUAAUCACCUUAUUUCUUGUAACUCGAGUCAAAGUGUCUAAAAUCUUGAUGGGAUACUCAGCAUAAGUCAAAUCACCCUGAAAACUGAGCUCUUCCAUUGGUAACUGUUUCGCAAGGACACGGAUACACUUCUUAAGUUGAGACACAUGGAAUAUAUUUUGCACAUCAGAUAGAUUAUCAGGUAGCUCGAGUUGAUAGACCAUCUCCCCAACUUGCCUAAAAACUCAGAAUGGUCCAAUAUAGCGAGGGGACAACUUGCCCUUAACUUUAAAUCUCCUCAUUCCACGAAGUGGCGAUACCUUGAGGUACACUUGAUCACCUUGCUCAAAUUCUAGUGGUCUUCUUCUAUUAUCUGCGUAGCUCUUUUGCCUGGUUUGAGCUACCCUCAAAUUCUCUCGAAUUAUACAAACUUGUUCUUCUGCCUCUUGAAUAAGUUCAGGUCCAAAGAAUUGUCUUUCUCCAGUUUGAUCCCAGUACAGUGGAGUCCUGCAUUUUCUACCAUACAGAGCUUCAAAUGGUGACAUCUUCAAACUGGCCUGAUAGCUAUUAUUAUAAGAAAACUCAGCAUAGGGUAAGCUCUUCUCCCAACUGCCACCAUGCUUAAGGGCACAAGCUCUUAACAUAUCUUCUAGCACUUGAUUAGUCCUCUCGGUCUGCCCAUCAGUCUGUGGAUGGUAAGCCGAACUAAAAUUCAAUCUCGUAUCCAAGGACUCGUGUAACUUCUUCCAAUACCGAGAGGUAAACUGUGAUCCCCGGUCUGACACAAUCUUCUUUGGCACACCAUGCAGGCAUACAAUCCAUGCCAUGUACAACUCUACCAACUUGGCUCCUGAAUACGUGGUCUUCACUGGAAUAAAGUGGGCUACCUUAGUUAGCCUGUCCACAAUCACCCAUAUAGAAUCAUAUCCAGCAGACGUGCGGGGCAAUCCAACAAUGAAGUCCAUGUCAAUCUCUUCCCAUUUCCACUCAGGUAUCUUCAGUGGGUGCAGUAGUCUGGCUGGCCUCUGGUGUUCAGCCUUAACUCUUUGGCAUACAUCACACAUAGCCACAUGUGCAGCCACAUCUCUCUUCAAUCCAUACCACCAGUACUUUUGCUUCAAAUCUUGAUACAUCUUAGUGCUUCCAGGGUGGAUGGAGUAAUCAGAAUCAUGAGCUUCUUUCAAUAUAGUCUCACGAAGGCUAUCAAUCUCUGGAACACAUAUCCGAUCUUUGAACCAUAUAGUACCUUGCUCAUCCUCCGUGAAUUCCGGAACUCGACCUUCCGUAAUCAGAUCCUUAAUCUCUUGAAUCUUAGCAUCACCAACCUGACCUUUACGAAUCUCUUGCUCCAAGGUAGGUUCCAACUCAAUGGUAACUCCUUCAGUGUGAGUAACAAUUCCCAAAUUGAGUCUCUCAAAGUCUUUUGCUAAUUCAUCGGGUAGUUGGACGACGAAAGCGGAGUGAACAUGCUCCUCCCGACUCAAGGCAUCCGCAACCAAAUUUGCCUUGCCCGGGUGAUAGUGAAUCUCCAAAUCAUAAUCCUUAAUGAGCUCCAACCAACGGUGUUGCGUAAGGUUGAGAUCCUUCUGAGUGAAUAUAUACUUCAAACUCUUAUGAUCCGUGUAUACUUAGCACUUAGUUCCCAUAAUGUAGUGUCUCCAAAUCUUAAGUGCAUGCACAACUGCUGCCAGCUCCAAGUCAUGAGUGGGGUAGUUCAAUUCAUGUUUCCGCAACUGACGAGACGCAUAGGCGAUCACAUGUCCUUCUUGCAUGAGCACACAUCCUAAUCCUUGGCCACAUGCAUCACAAUAAAUAUCAAAUCGCUUCUGUAGAUCUGGCAUAAUCAACACUGGUGGUGACAUCAAUCUCUUCUUUAAUUGAUCAAAGCUAACUUGACACUUCUCGUCCCACUUAAACUCUCUUCCCUUCUCUAGAAGUGAGGUCAUAGGCUUAGCAAUCUUAGAAAAUCCUUCAAUAAAUCUCCGAUAAUAUCCUGCAACUCCCAAGAAACUCCAAAUCUCUGGGACUAUAGUGGGUAUGCUCCACGCCACUAUCGCCUUGACUUUAGCAGGAUCCACUGCUAUUCCGCCAAAUGACAUAACAGUGAACUCAUAUAAUCCAUAUCGGGUUGAGACAGUUGUCUUGGGAACAUCCGAUGGUCUAAUCUUCAUUGAUGGUAUCCCGAUCUGAGGUCAAUCUUAGGGAACACCCUGGCACCUCUCAUCUGAUCAAAUAAAUCCUCAAUGCGGGGUAACGGAUACUUGUUCUUCAUAGUGACACCAUUAAGGGACCUUUAAUCCACGCACAACCCUUGCAAUCCAUCUUUCUUCUGUACAAACAAAACCAGUGCUCUCCAAGGUGAAGACUCGGACGAAUGUACCCAGCCUCUUGUAAUUCAGAUAACUGCUUCUUCAGUUCCUUUAACUCUUCUACGGACAUCCUACAUGGCCAUUUAGAAAUAGGAGCAGUUCCAGGUAAGAGAUCUAUGACAAACUCAACUUCCGUAUCUGGUGGCUUCCUUGGUAACUCUUCUGGAAAGACAACCGACAAAUCUCUAACCGCACGAAUGUAGCCACUAACAAACUUCUCAUCUACUAAGAAUGUCGCUAGUCUGGUGGCGGUAGUUACUGCAAUUCCAACUUCAAAUCUUUCUCCUUUGGAACUGGUGAGUUCUAUGGUUCCUUUAGCACAGUGUAUAAACUGUCUUUGCCUUUCUUAACCAUGACAUACCAAGGAUCAAGUCUAUAGUGCUCUCUUCUAACACUAUAGGGGUCGCCCAUCUGGGUUAGAAAUACAGGGUGAGAAAGAAAGGAUUGUAGACAAGGCAGGUGAUUACGAAUUAUGUUACUUUGGGGGAUUCAUGAGCUAAGUGUGUUGCCUACUAAAGCUAAUUCAUUACCUUAUGGUGGUACAUGCUAAGAUGCCCAACUAUAAUGUUUCAAUCAGUCAAAGAAGCAAAUCAGACAUUUUUCAUCAGAACAAUCAAACAACAUUUUUUUAAAUAUAGAAAAUAGUUUUGAUUUUGUCUUAGGUUCCCUAACUCUUAAGAAUGUCAUAGGGGUAGGGAUUCCAAGGUGUGAAAUCCAUCUUGUCUUAGAGUAGAAAAGGUAAGAAUGAUCAGAGUAGAACAGUAGAAGGUGAGACAGGAUCAAGAUAAGUAUAGAGAGAAUCAGAGUAAGAUAAGUAGGUAAGGGUUUUGUCCAUUUCUAUCUAGGUUUUGUCCUACAGUCAACAUUUCCUCUGAUACCACUUCUGUCACACCCGGUUUUAAGGGACAAAGCCGGGUGCAUCUCAUACAUGCGCCAAGAAGACAACAUAUAUAAUAACAGAAUGUAUAGAGAUAAAUGUCAUAAAACAUCAGAGUAUUUAUUACAUAGCGGAAGACUUAAUACAAAAUAAACGAUAAAUAUAAAACGAACUAAGGAUCGUCGGCGCCAAUGUCAACUGAGAAACGCCACCUAGAUCAGAUCAAACUCCUCGCCCUGUGGCUCCUCCUGAACCACCUGUUCUUCUCCUGUGGGGGUUGGGUGUGAGACAGCAAGAGUGAGCUCACAUACGUUCAUCGCUCAACAAGUUGUGGGGAAUAAUGUGGCAUGAACUCACCAAAGGUGGGAGUUCAUGAAGUGUAAGGCUGAUCAAUGAAAUAGAGGCUGAAGCUGAGCAUUGCUUUUAUAAGUUGGUCAAAAUUUUAUUAGCAGUUACUAAGUGUAAGUAAGUACCAAACCAUAGUAAUAAUAAGUAAAAGUAAUAAUAAAAUAAUCCCAAAUGCAAUGAAAUGACAGAUUAAGUUUAAGUUCCAUAAAUUAAUCAUGUGAGUGUCCGAGCCACUUCGUGAAGUAUUCAACGGUGACGAAGGUGAACUUGAGGUUCCCUUGAGCCGUAGGUAGUGGCCCAACAAUAUCCAGCCCCCAGCGUUGGACUAGCCAUGUGUGGGCAAUCAGCUUGGUGAACUGCGAAGGGUUGCCCGAGCAGGGAGCCGCAAAUUCCGUUGUGGACUUCGCGUAGGAUCUAGAUGCCUUCGAUUUUGGUGACGCAUUUUAGCAUGGGUUGACUGAUCCCCUUCUUGUAUAGUUGUUCCCCGACUAGUACAAAGUCCCGACUUCGGUGCUUGAGGCGCUUGGCCUCAUUGACAUCACUCGGGUGGUAGUAUCCUUGCAGAAAUAGUGUUAUUGGGGCCCGCCAGUCUUCGGUCAUAAUGAGGUUGACGAUGCAAUGGCCUUCGGCGUCGUUGGUUACUUGUAAUCCCUCUGGGUUGCGGACGGCUGGUGUGCCAAUGACGUGGUAGAACACAUCGGAGGGCAAGGUCUCGCCUCUGGCCGCUGCCUUAGCCAACUCGUUGGCCUCUUCGUUCCUGGCGCGGUACACAUGCUGUAAGGUGAAGACCUUGAAUUGUCUCUCGAGACUGCGAACAGCCAUGAGAUACUGCAUGAGUGCGGGGUCUUUUGCUGAAUAUUCUUUUUCUACCUGGUCGGCAACUACUUUAGAAUCUGUCUUUACUAUGCAGGUAGUGAUACCGAGCGCUCUCAGCUUGCGAAGGCCCAGGAUGACAGCUUCGUAUUCUGCUAUGUUGUUUGUGCAUCUAUCGGAUUCCAAAGUGAAGCUAAGGCGUGCUGCGUAUCUGUGCUUGAUGCCUUUGGGUGACGUGAUAAUUGUAGCUGCGCCUGCCCCCGCAUGGCACCAUGCGUCGUCCCGGUGGAUGGUCCACACCUUCUCUGGAGGGUCUCUUGCUAUUGUGUCGGUCCAGUCCAGUCGACGAUGAAGUCUGCCAGGACCCGUGACUUGAUUGCUGUCCUGGGCUCAAAAGUGAUGUAGUACCCGGAGAGUUCGGCUGCCCAUUUGGCGAUUCGGACGGACGCCUCCGAGUUUCUGAAUAGUUCUCCCAGUCCCCUGUCCGAGGUGACCCACACUUUGAACGCCUCGAAGUAGUGGCGCAGCUUGCGCGAUGCCAUCACGACUGCGUAAGAGAUUUUUUCCAAUUCGGUCAUGUUGCACUUGGAGGCCGUGAGGACCUCGGAGACGUAGUAGACUGGACACUGUCGGGUCGUGCCCUCUCUGUCUUGCUCUUGGACUAGGGCUGCGCUGACUGCAUAUGGUGAGGCUGCGAUGUAGAGCAGCAGAGGCAGCGAGGGGUGUGGACUGGUGAGAAUUGCCAAGUCUGACAAGUGUUGCUUGAGUGAUGCGAAGGCUGCCGCCUGUUCCGGUCCCCACUCAAAGUCUUUCGCACCACACAGUGUCUUGAUGAAGGGUAGACUCCGCUCUACGAAUCUGGAAAUGAAUCUGUUGAGGGCGGUUAGUCUACCUGUUAGACGCUGGACUUCCCUGGUUGACUGCGGGGGUGACAUGUUGAUGAUUGCCUGAAUCUUGGUCGGGUUGGCCUCGAUCCCGCGGUGCGACACCAGGUAGCCCAGUAUCUUCCCCUGGCAGACUCCGAAGACGCACUUCUCAGGGUUGAGGCAAAGUCGUGCGUCCCGCAUGUUUGCGAACGUCUCUGCGAGGUCAGCUAGGUGGUCUUCUUUAUUUUUGCUUCCGACAACGAUGUCGUCUACGUACGUGAAAAUGUUGAGGCCCACUUGGCUCUCGAGCACCGUCUUGGUGAGGCGAGAGAAGGUUGACCCAGCAUUCUUGAGUCCCUCCGGCAUCCUGAUGAAGCAGUACGUGCCGAAGGGUGUGAUGAAGCUGGUGCUAGCCUUGUCUUCCUCCUUCAUGUAUAUCUGGUGAUAGCCGGAGAAACAGUCAAGAAGUGACAUGACUUCGCAUCCGGCUGCACUAUCGACUAUCUUGUCGAUCCGUGGUAGCGGGAAAUUGUCCUUGGGACAGGCCUUAUUGAGGCUGGUGAAGUCAAUGCACAUGCACCACUUGCCGCUUUUCUUUUGUACCAUGACUACUUUGGCGAGCCACAAGGGGUAGGCGAUUGGUUCAAUGAAAUUGGCCUCCAGCACGCGGUGCACUUUAGCUUUGGCGGCUUCCGUUUUUUCAUCCGACAUUUUGCGCAGUCGCUGCUUUUUUGGGCGCACCGAAGGGUCGAUGCCCAGACUUUGCUCGAUGACGGUGCGGCUGACUCCGACCAGGUCAAGGGCGGACUAGACGAAGACAUCUUUGUUUCUGGAGAGACAGGAGAUGAGCUUCUCCUGGUCUUGCGAAGUCAGGUCUUCGCUUAUGACGACCGUUUGCUUGGGCGUCGCCGAGUCGAGGGGAACUGUCUUCGUUUCGUCGUUGCUCUGCAGCUGUGCUUUUGCUUUUUCAUCGGCGGCUGGGCGGUCGCCUUGGAGACUUCGCGUUGUGUCGUAAGGUAGUGUACGUUCUGUUGACCUGGAACGAAGUCUCUCUCAAUGUUGCAUGCAGUCUGCUGGUUGCUGUAAACCGUUAUCACGCCUUGUGGACCCGGAAUUUUGAUGCAGAGGUACAAUCCGUGAAUGGCCACUUCAAAUUUAUUGAUGGAGCCCUGACCCAUUAUGGCAUUGUAGGGAUAUACCAUGUCGACGAUGUCAAAGGUGACCUGUUCGCUUCACGCAUUGGGUGCUACACCGAAUGACAGGGGUAAUUCUAUCUUGCCCACGAGGAAAGUGCCCUUGCCGCCGAAGCCAUAUAGGGGGUUGUCCGAAGGCUUGAGUAAGUUGUGGUUGAUGCCCAUGCGAUCGAAGGCGUGCAGGAAGAUGAUGUCCGCUUGGCUGCCAUUGUCGACUAGGACUUUGUGCAGGUCCCAGCCUGCUACACUACAGUUGAUUACCAUGGCGUCGACGUGGGGUGCGCUGCACAGAUCAACAUCUCUGGCGUCGAAGGUUAAUGGCACAUGUGACCACUUCGUUUGCAUGACUGGGCCGAUGAGGGCGACGUGGUUGACGCUUCGAUAGUGAUCCCUCUUUUGCCGCUUCGUCUCGAAGUCGACGCUAGACCCUCCGGUGAUCAUGUGGAUGACUCUGCGAUACGGCUGAUCGCCGAAGUGUUCUUGUUUUGGUGCUUGGUGGUGAUUUUGGUGGUGUGAGUUUGGUUGAUGCGGAGGCGGGAGCGGAGGUGGUACGACUUGUACCUCCUGGUGGUGUUGAUAUGCGUGGUUGGGUUGAUGUUGGGCGUGGCCGUUGUUGUAUGGUUGUGGGUGGUGGUGUUGAUAUGUGUGCGCGACAACUCUCGGGUUGUCGGCUGGUUGUGCCCGAGACAUUCUGUCCCUGGUGGCCUUUGUUUCCGGGCAAUCCCUUGUUGGAUGUGCGCAGUCUUCACCAUGGAACAGGCUGUAAUAUCUGCGCGGUUGUUGUGCCCGUCCUUGGCCCUGGCCUCGCGUGCCAUUGCCAUGGCCCAGGGGGGGAUAGUCUUGACGGUGAGCGGCUUCGCCGGCGGGGUGCUGGUUGGCUAUGUUGUGCACAUGCUGCUGACUGUGGCUGUCCCGUUCGGAGUCUGACUGUGAAGGCCUUGUCUAGGUUUGGCUGGACUGUGGAGGGUCCUUGGGCUUUCUCUGAGACUCGACCUUGCGCUGAUGGAGCUCUUCGGAUCUGGUGUACUUCUCGAACAACUGAUAGAGCUCUUGGAAAUUUUUGGGUGGGUCCCUGAUGCAGUGACUAUAUAGGACGCCAGCCUGAAGGCCACUGAUGGUGUAGUGUAUGGCAAUUUGGUCGUCGACCGAAGGCAGUUGUGACUUGAGAGUCAGGAACUUGCGGUAGUACUCUCGUAUGGUUUCUUUCCUGUUGCUGUUUGCAGAGUGAUAGCUCGGCCAAGGCAUCGGUGUCUGGGCGGUACCCUUGGAAGUUGAUCAGAAACUUGUCUCGGAGACUUUUCCAGGAGUCGAUGGACAAUGGGGGCAACCUGGUGUACCAGGUCAAGGCCAGGCCCUCGAGGGCGAUGAUGAAAGACUUGGCCAUUGUGGCGUCGUCCCCUCCGGAUGAUGCGACGGCGACUUGAUAGCUCAUGAUGUAUUGUGCUGGGUCGGUGCUGCCGUUGUACUUGGGGUAGGUCCCCGCCCUGAAGUUGGCGGGCCAUGGUGACACUUGGAGUUGCGGCGCUAGGGGGCUUCGCUCAUCAAGGUAGUUGAUGCCUUGGAAAGCUGCGGCGUGCGGGAUAAAGGGUCCGCGCUGGGGAAUGAAUAAGUCACAGGCUGGCGCGCGCUAUUGGAGGGGUGGGCCGUGUUGCAGAUCAUGCUGGUCUUCGCUCUACAUGAGCGCAAUCUCUUGGUCGAGUUCCCGGGCUCUCUGCUCCUUGUCUCGUAUCAUCUGGCGCACCUUGGCUUGCGCGGUGACACGUUGGCGCUUGGCCUCGAGGAUGUCUUUCUGCUUUUGGAGGUUGCGGUUCUUGAUGUGCAGGGCCCGUAGUUAUAGCUGUUCUUCGGCUGAGACGCUGAUGACUUCGCCGUCCUCUGUUGCGUCUUUGCCCUCUGGUGGAGCGAAGCCUGGGGGUGGUGCUUGUGGUUGUCCUCCGGAGCUACAGGUGCGUAGGGUGCCUUCGGGAGUGGGUUGGUCAUCUUCGCAGGCUUCUUGGGGGUGUUGUCUGCGAGGGCCUUGCCCUUUUUCUCGGCUAGCAGCGCUGCCUUAUCUGCUUCAUCGAUGGAUGGGGCUGCCUUCGAACUAGGUCUCUUGGGUGCCAUCGCGGGUGGUUUGUUCGUAGCACGAACGGUGGGCGCCAAUGUUGGAACUUGCUCUCCUGGGCAAGUUGAUCCAAUGGGGGAGUGGAAAGGGCGCAAGCAAAGUUUAACGCGGAUGGCAAUUGCUCUAUUGAUCUGGCCUCUCAAGGGCAUUGUACGGGGGUAUUUAUAGGUACCCGAAUGUCGAACGUCCUAAGACAAGGACGGUUAUGUCCUCAGGUUCCCGGAUUAUCCCUAGUAUAUUCCCAUAAAGGGGGGUUACAGACCGUCAUUACAGAAAAGCUAUUACAGAUGAGGCUCGUAACCUGCCUGUCCACGCGGGGCCCGUUGCAGUGGGCCGAAUUCCACAUGGGCCUCCGGGUGAGAUGAGGGACGCGGGACCAGCAGACUUCGUCGGGGUCUGGCCUUCGUCUUGCAAUGGAGAGGACGAAGGGCAACCGCGCCAGUCGUCACGCGUUCGUUGAUGUAGCGACACGACGAAGGCUUCGAGCGAAGGGUAGCGUCUUCGCCUUUGCCCCAACAUAGUGUCUAAGGGUCUAGCUAACCCUGGCAACAUGGGAUACACGACUUGUGGGUACCGGGUACAACCUCUGCAGAGUGUAAAACUGGUAUACUAGCCAAGCUCAUGGUCAUGAGCAGAUCAAGACUCUCGCAUGAUUAAAUUAUGGAACUAAAUUCAAUAUGUCAUUUGCAUUGCAUGGGAUUACUAAUUAUGGUUCGGUAUUUACUUACAUUUAGUAACUACUAAUAAAAUAUGACCAACUUAUUAAAAGCAAUGCUCAGCUUUAACCCAUAUUAUUGAUCAGCCUUACACAUCACAUGAACUCCCACCCUUGGUGAGUUCAUGCACAAUAUACCCCACAACAUGUUGAGCUAUGAACGUUUGUGAGCUCACUCUUGCUAUCUCACACCCCACAGGUCAAGAAAAGGUACCAUAGGAUGAGGCGCAUGGUGGAUGCGGCAAUGUGUUCGUGAGAGGUCUAGGUCGUUGUCUCCUAGUCAACAUUGGGUUGCUGAUCGUUGUCUCCUUGCGAUAUUAUUAUUAAUUUAUUUUGUACAUAACUCCUAAUGUAUAAUAAAGUUGUGACAUUCGUUUCUGUACCAUGAUUCAUCAUAUGUGUGAGACUUGGUCCCAACACACCUGGUGAUUAUGUUCACGCCCGGGUCCCUAAAACCCGGGUGUGAUAGAAGUGGUAUCAGAGGAAUGUUGACUGUAGGACGAAACCUAGAUAGAACUAGACAACCAUUGUCUACUUACCUUUGCUGCUCUGAUUCUUUUCUAAACUUUUCUUAAUCUUUUCUCAUCUAUUUCAGCUUACUCUGGUUACUCUUACCUUUUUCCUUCUAAAGACAAAUGUGGAUUUCACACUUUGGAAUCUCGUGCCUAAAGUGACCUUUAGGAAUAUGAGCCCUACCCUUAGUAACAAAAACAAAACUAUUUUUAUAGGUAUCUAUGUGGCAGAACCACCCGAAUUAUUCCAGCUUAAGUGCCUAAGUCACGCCUCAGGGGCCGUAACACACUUAAAUCGGAAUAACCCGUCAGUCCCUCAGAUCUAGUCUGAUAGAGCCACUUAACCAGGAUCAAAUUCCACAAUCUCACUCGAAGAUGAGUCACGGAAGAAGUACAAUAAAACAGGAAACCUCAAAUUAAGUGCUGAAUUAUUACAUAGAUCGGAGUUUUUGAGUAGCAAAUAAGAGUUCACGAAAUAAAAUGCAGCAGAUAAUCGAUGUCGUCGGUAUUGAGGAAAUGGGCAAGGCCUAGCCCACUACUCCUCAUGCUCCUCUCCUGCCGGAGCAACAUCCCACUCGACCGUCCAACCCGGUGGCAGGGUGGUAGGCCAAGUCACACCAUCAACCAUAUCCUGAAGCGCACCUGCAAAAAUUAUGCCACAAGCAAGGCUGAGUAUACUAAUACUCAGCUAGACUUACCCGGUGUGAGGAAACUACUCCUCUACCUCUAGACUAUGCAGCUGUUUGGCUGAGGGGUUUGGUUUGCCUAAAGCACUAGCUGUUUCUAAAAUUAAUUUUUAGCUUUCCAAUUUCUAACAUCAUUAUCUUAGCUAGGUUUGCUCCUUCUAAGCAUACAUGGUGACAAGCAUUUAGUUCAAUCAACAAAUUGUCUCAUGUAACCUCAUUUCACUUCUUACUCGAUGUAGUACAAGGGGUCAAGCAGUCUCAUUAGCUGCGAGAAGCAGACGAUUCGAAUCGAGUUUUAUCCUUGCAAGGUAAACCUAAACACACAACAUGUCAGGGUACUCCGACCCCACACAUGUCAACCGUCCCCAUCGAUUCCCCGUUCGCGUCCAGGCCUCACCGCCUUGGCAUACAAUGUUCCACUGACCCCGGCUGCCGCCGUGCAGUGACCGCACUUGUACCCACCAUAGCUAGCAUGGGAGACCCAGUCUCAGGUCGUAUGAGGGAUAAAGUCCGCGCCCGGCUUCACUCAGGUACUAGGUUUAUCGGUUACCAUUUUUCCCGACAUGUUCUUAGUAUGUUCAAACGCUUGACUCAGGUAUCCACACAUUAAUCCUUAAUUCCUUUUUCCCGUCUCAUGGUCAAGGCAUCCUCCCUGGAUCCAAGUCCAUAGACUAACAUAGAUCCCGUUAUCAAGAUGAAUACAAUCAAUUCCUGACCUCGCGCGAGUGCUAGGAAAAUCACUCGACUUCUACCGAGAUCCUGAUUAGCAAGCAGCUACUCGACCUAGAAUACUAGUAUUCGUCUAAAAAAGGAAUCCUAAGUUCAUGCAACUAGAGGUUUCAAGCAACUCCUACACUUAAGUGCACAUUACAAUACUACAAGCAUCUAAUGAAUGCAAUGCGUAAGAUAUAUGCAUGAUACGAUAUGAUAUGGGCUUUAGUAAUUUCAACUUUUGAUGGUGUAUGAUCUACUUGAGUUAGAUAGAGUUAAACCUUACUUAUGUGAUACUUUUGGGUGGUAUACUUGGUAAAUUGGAUCAACCUUAGCUAAGUUAAGUGGUAGGUUUAUUUUUGGUGUUCCACUGAAUUCUUUUUAAGGUCUUUAGUGAGAAUUGCCUAGAAUUCAUGUUGGACUUAUUGGAGUGAGGUUUAUUUCUCCCUUCUUUUUCUUUAUUCUCUUUAAGUUUUUGGAGUGGGUUUGAACUACAAGUUACCUCAAUAAAUUCCCAAAAAUUCUGUAAAAGUUACAGUGGCUUAUUAUUAGUGUAUAAUUCUUUGUCUCAAAAUUUGGGGUUCAAAAAGUGAAUAGUUCUCUCUGGAAAAAAAUACCAAAUUUUAGGGCAGAAGGGGUGAUUUGAACUACAACUAUCAUUUAAUAGUAGGUAACUCUCUUAGACUUAUUUUUGCUGGUAUUUAGAUGCUAUAGCAUGUCUUGGUACAAAAUUCUAGCCAGUAAUACUUAUUAGUUAUUUUACUAGGAUUUUCUAAAGUUUCUAGCAAAAGGGGUGCUUUCUACUAUCACUAUAUUUGAAAAAUAUCAAACAACAGAUUUCUGAUUUUUCCUAGCUUCUAUUUUGCGCAAGAGCAAUCAUUCUGAAGUUUGGCAUCUUUUUGCUUAAGGAAAUGGGUGGUAUGCAUUAAUUGGAUUAAAUGGCCUUUCUUAUAAAAUAUUGGCAAUAGGUAAUAUUUUGCAUCUUUCAAAUGGGUUUGUAUUUUUUUCUAGUGGCCUAUCUCAUUAUUGACCUAGCAAAAUUUUAUUUGCCCAUUAUUGCAUUAUUAUGGGUUAUUCAUGAGUUAUUUGGAAUAUGACUCAUCAUCAUAUUAUAUUUAUUUACCCUACUUAAAAUGAUGGGCUGCGGUGUUUAUUAUUUUUACAGUGGGGUUUUGGUGGUUACAAGUCCACUGGAUUUUUAUUAUCAAUUUUGGGUCUGGUUUUGUAAUUCUAAUAAUUGAUUUCUAGUUGGAAUAAUGCUAAAUAAAACAUUUCACUUUAAAACUGAUCUGGACUAUAGGUCCCUUUAUUUUUCCUAGGUUCUCUGUUACUUAAGCAAACUAGGAAAAAUAAUUUCAUCCACUGGUCAUUAAUUUCUAAGGCCUUUAUGAUUUUCCUAAGGUUUGAGCAGAAAUGGCUUUUAAUAGAUACUCCCUCCGUUUCUUUUUAUUUGUCGCUGAAUAGUGCAAUUUUGCACUAUCCAGCGACAAAUAAAAAGAAACGGAGGGAGUAUCUACACUAAAUUUUUCAAUACUGGGGUUCUCACUAUUUUAAAACAGUGCUUAAAUGAGGUUUGAACAUCUACAAAUUUUCUUAGGUUCAGCACAGAAACAUAACUAAUUUUCCUUAAUUAAACAAGGCUUGGUCAGUUUCUGUAUUUAAUUUUAAACUCUAAAAAUUAGAACAGAAAGCAUAGGGUUCAGUAUUUUUAAUUGGUAUUUCAUAAUAUUUAGAAUUUACCAAAAUUGGUUUGACAACUUUUGGUUAAGUAUUCAUCAAGUUAUGAAUUUUCUAAGUUCUCUGUUUAUUAAAAAGAUUAAACAGAAAUGAUUAAAUGGAAAACUACUUUGCAACGGGGUCCCUGGCGGGUGUUUUAAGUUUUCCUUACAGACUAGUCCCUGGGCUACUAUUCAGAUGCGUCACUGACAUCUUAGAAAACCCCCUGGAUUCUUCUAAUCCUAACCCGAGGUCCUUCCCCCAAAUUAAACAUUACCCGCGGCGGAAGAAAGGGCGGAGGGGCUUACCGGCGGCGAGAUUGCUCCGGUGAGGUGGCCGAGGGUGUGGGGGAGGUCCUUAGGGUCACGGCGAUGUGCGGGUCGCCGUCGGGGAUGGUCGGAGUCGGCCGGUCCGUGUGCGCAAGUGGGGGAGCUCGUCGGCGGUGAGGAGUCCGGCCUAUCCAGGGCGAAAUUGAUCAAUCAAACUGGUCAGAGAGCUUCACUGGAUGCUAGGGAAGACAUGGGUGCGAGGAAUUUGACAAUGGCUUACCAGAGAGCUCGGUCCACGCGCGGGGUCGGUGGCGCGACGUGCUCGAGGUGAUUUCCGGUGAUCUCUGACUUGGGCAAGUCUGGAGAGCACGCGGGGAUGAAUGGCCGAGGCUUGGGGCGGCUUUAUAGGCACGGUACGGUGCACGGGCGGUCGUGGACCGGCGAGCGCGCGUGGGCAUGCACUGGGAGGCGUGGGUGCGCGAACGGGCGUGAACCGGAGGUGUCAGCCACGGUCGAACACGUGUGCUCGUUGCCUCUGCCCAAGUUCAAGCGCUGGUUGGGUGCAAAUCUUCGCGAAUUUUGGCAAGAUCGCUGUGAAGGAUUUGUUCAUCUGACCUUGCUUUGUCUUUUGUGUAUGGACGUCGCACGGGUUUAGGCUAAGGACAAGGAGUUGUAGCAUCACCAAGGUGCCAAUGUCAGAAUGUCUGGUCCCGAGGUCAAUCUGCGCCAAAACUAUGUCAAACGAAUUUGGUUUGAGUUCAAACUUUUCUAGGGCGUGUUCAAGGGAAUUUGGUACAACUUUGAUAUUUGGAUCUCCUGGUUUCGAAUUUCAAAAAACAGAGAACGCAGUUGAUCUUUGAAAAGAGGUCAGAAAUUCAGAAAUCUGAAUUUCUCCAAGGGUUCAUGGUUGAAGGGCUGAUUUGGGAAUUUUUAAAAAACCAAAUGGCCAAACCCUCUUACUAUGGUUUGUUAGUUAUUUGAUGAACUAAAACUUUGUAAUUUGAUCAUAUCUAAAAUUUUUCAUUUUCCCCCAUGACUUCUCCCAAUUACCCUUUAUGCUUAACUUGGCUUACUUAGGGUUUAUUAGGGUUUGAGGGUCUUUCUCUCUCAAAGUUCAUAACAAGAUUAAGGAGAGUUUAAGAAGAUUCAUUAUAAACCUUUGUUCUGAAUUUUCUUUUGAUGUUCACCCUUUUACUGAAUUUACAUGUGUUAAUAGGUUGGAUUAGCUUAGGAAAGAACCCUAGGUGACACUGGGGUGUCACAGCCUUCCCCCUUUAAAGGAAUCUCGUCCUGAGAUUCGGGUCAGAGUCCUCCUGGGGUGAAGCGAAGGGUGAGACUUAUUGGAAGUGGGUGCUCUUAUUAUUAGGGCAAUUUGCUCUUCGAAUGUCAUUCUCUUUGCGACUUCAGAAGGAAGUCCUUUUUAAAUUUUGUUUCAUGCUUACUUCAUUCUGAUUUAAGAUCAUAUUUUUGAAAUUUAGAUUCGAAGGGCAGGAGGAGGGGUUGGGUGUGAUUACGUACCAGUUUCCUUAGGUAGGCAAUCGGGGAAGUUGGAUCUCAAGAAUUCCUCAGUCUCCCAAGUAGCUUCUUCCUCUGAGUGAUUACUCCACUGGACCUUGUACAUCUUGAUCGAUUUAGCCCGAGUUGAUCUUUCUUUGCAAUCCAAAAUCUUGGAGGGGUACUCUUGGUACGAUAGAUCUGGUUCUAUCUCCAAUUCUGGUUCUGCUAUGAUCUCGGUCGGCAAUCGAACACACUUCUUUAGCUGAGAUACAUGGAACACACUGUGAAUGGCAGACAGUUUUGAAGGUAGCUUCAGCUGAUAUGCCAUGGGUCCACAUGCUUCUAUGAUCUCAUAAGGUCCAAUGUAAUGAGGGGCUAGCUUGCCUUUGAUUCCAAACCUCUGCACUCCCUGGGUGGGUGAUACCUUGAGGUAUACGAAAUCUCCCACCUUGAACUGGAGAGGUUUCCUUCUUUUAUCAUGGUAACUCUUCUGCCUGGCCUAAGCAGCUUCUAGAUUCUUCCUGAUUAGUUUGACCUUCCUUUCGGCUUCAGUCACUAAGUCAGGUCCAAAAACUCCUCUUUCUCCAGGUUGAGACCAAUUGAGUGGUGUCCUACACCUUCUUCCAUAGAGAGCUUCGAAAGGUGCCAUCCUUAGGCUGGAUUGAUAACUGUUGUUAUAAGCAAACUCUGCCAAGGAUAGGUGCUUAUCCCAGUUCUUGCCACAAUCAAUUGCACAAGCUCUCAGCAUAUCCUCCAGAAUUUGGUUUACCCUUUCAGUCUGACCAUCAGUCUGUGGGUGGUAAGCUGAACUUCUGAUUAGCUUGGAUCCCAAAGACUCCUGCAGUUGUUCCCAAAAUCUGGCAACAAAUUGGGCUCCUCGGUCAAAAACAAUGGUCCGAGGUAAUCCGUGCAAACACACGAUCCGGUCAAUGUACAACUCUUCAUACUUUUGAUCCUUAUCAGUGGUGUGCACAGGGAGAAAAUGUGCCACUUUCGUCAGUCGGUCCACAGUAACCCAAAUCAAAUCAUGAUGACGAGAGGUGUUGGGCAGACCCACGAUGAAAUCCAUGCUGAUGUCAUCCCAUUUCCACGAAGGUAUAGAUAGGGAUUGCAAAGCUCCAACUGAUUUCAAGUGGCUUGCUUUAUCCUCUAACAGGUGUCACAUUCCGAUACAUACUGGGCUAUCUCCCUUUUCAUUCUGGUCCACCAAUACAAAGGCUUCAGAUCAUGGUACAUUUUGGUGCUUCCCGGAUGCAUAGAGAAUUUGGAGAGAUGAGCCUCGUCCAAGAUUUUCCUCUUGAGGUCCUUGUUUUUAGGAAUCACCAAUCUGCUUUUGAACCAUAAUACACCCUUUUCAUCUUGGUGGAAACAUUUAUACUUCUCAACCUUCUGAUGGAGAUUCUUCUUGAUAAUCUGUACUCCCUUGUCACUGAGCUGGGCCAUGAUGAUCUAGUCUUGCAAAGCUGGCUCGACAGAAAUGUGAGACAGAGCACCAAAAGGACUCACUUCUAUUUGCAUCUUGCUCAACUCAUCAGACAAGGUGUUGAUGCGAGAAUCCAUCAGAAUACAAUUGCAUUGCAACUUCUGACUCAAGGCAUCUGCUACCACAUUGGCUUUUCCUGGGUGAUAAUGUACCUCCAGGUCAUAAUCCUUGAUCAGCUCUAGCCAUCUUCUCUGCCUCAUGUUGAGAUCAGCCUGAGUAAAGAUGUACUUAAGGCUCUUAUGAUUAGUGAAGAUGUUGCAGUGGGUUCCCAUUAAAUAGUGCCUCCACAUUUUUAAUGCAUGAACCAUUGCUGCCAACUCGAGGUCAUGAGUGGGAUAAUUUUUCUCAUGAGGCCUGAGUGCUCUUGAGGCAUAAGCAAUGACUCGGUUGUCUUGCAUUAAGAUACAACCUAGUCCCGUGCUAGAGGCAUCACAAUAUACAUCAAAAGGCUUGCUGUUGUCGGGUUGCGCUAACACUGGUGCUGUGGUCAGAUGCUGCCUUAAUGCAUGGAAGGCAUCUUCGCACUUCUGACUCCAAACAAACUUGGCUUCUUUCUUCAGCAACUCAGUUAUAGGCUUCACAAUUCGAGAGAAAUUCGGAAUAAAUCUUCGAUAAUAACCAGCUAAUCCCAGAAAACUCCGAAUCUGACGGACAGUCGUUGGUGGCUUCCAGUUCAUCACCUCUUGCACCUUAUCAGGAUCAACAGCUAUUCCGGCCUGAGAGAUAAUGUGACCCAAGAAUUUGCCAAAAAUCACAUUUUGAUAACUUGGCAUAAAGGUGGUGCUCUCGCAGACGUUGAAGCACUACAUGCAAAUGCCCGACAUGUUCUUCUUCGUUUUUCGAGUACACCAAGAUAUCAUUGAUGAAAACCACUACGAAUUUGUCCAAUUCAGGCAUGAAAACAGAAUUCAUCAGAUACAUGAAAUAUGCUGGUGCAUUAGUCAGCCCGAAAGACAUCACCAAGAAUUCAUAUAGCCCAUAUCUGGUUGAGAAUGUCGUCUUCGGAAUAUCGCUUGCUCGUAUCUUGAUCUGAUGGUAGCCGGAGCGAAGGUCUAUCUUUGAAAACACCUUGGCCCCCGACCAACUGGUCAAAAAGAACAUCAAUACGAGGCAACAGAUACUUGUUCUUGAUAGUUACCGCAUUAAGAGGGCGGUAAUCUAUACACAGCCUCAAGCUUUCAUCCUUCUUCUUCACAAACAGUGCUGGACAUCCCCAAGGCAAAGUACUUGGGCGAAUAAAUCCCUUAUCCAGCAACUCCUGCAAUUGCUUCUUCAAUUCUGCCAACUCAGCGGGUGGCAUUCGGUAAGGCCUCUUAGAAAUUGGUGUCGUUCCUGGUUGCAACUCGAUGGCAAAUUCAAUAUCCCGGUCUGGUGGCAUUCCUGGCAAUUCAUCAGGAAAUACAUCUGCAUACUCGCAGAACAUUGGGAUCUUCUUCUGAGGUAACUCCGUCAUAGAGAAAGCACAUGACUGAGUAGAACCUUGACUAGGCAGAAUUAAGGUGAAGUUCCCACAGAACGGAGAAUUAAUUUCCACGGUACGGCUGGCUACAUCAAGCACAACUUGGUGCAAGGUCAUCCAAUUGGCUCUCAGAAUAAUGUCCACAUUUUCCAAACCCAAAACAAGAAGGGUGGUUUUGACAAUGUGGCUUCCCAGUUGAAUAGGCACACUUUGGUUUAAUUGAUUAGUUGAAAUUUUACCCCCAGGUGUGACUAUCAUAAAUGACCCUUUUGAGUGAGAAAAUGGAAGUUCACAUUUAGCACUGAACUUUUGGCUAAUGAAACUAUGAGAUGCACCAGAAUCAAACAGAAUUAAAGCAGGUUGAUUAUAAACUGAAAAGAUAUCGGUCAUGAUAGGAGCUCCCUCAGGUACUUCCUCCAGAUUAGUGAAGUUGAGCUUCCCUUGCCUGACUUGUACCUUCUGCUUUCUUCCCUUGUCUUGAUUUGGUGCUGGCAUCUGCCUCUGUUGGUUCCUCGGACAAUUCUUGGCAUAGUGGCCCACAUUGCUGCAAGUGAAACACUUGUUCCCAUUGCCCUGGCGGAACUGCUGCUGCUGCGGAGGCUGAUUGUUCCUUGGAGCGGGAGCUGGAAAGCGGUUGGGUGCCGGCUGCUGCUGCUGAGGUGGCCUGAUCACCCAUCUGUCUGCCUGCUGCUGGAAACCCCUGCUCUGAUUGUGAGAAACAAUCCGGAACCUCUAGGCCUGAGCAGAUGGUGCUACCAUUGGUGCCUUUCUCUUCUUCUCUGCCCGGUGAGCUACAAUGCAAUCCUCCUGGGAGAUGGCCAGGUUGACCAACUCAUUGAAGCUAUCAGCCCGGACAGUGUUCAAUCGUUCCCACAUCUUGGUGUUAAGACCCCUGCGGAAGCGGUCUCUCUUCUUCUCAUCAGAAUCAGCAUGGUACCCUGCAUACUGGCAUAGGUCGUUGAAGGCCUGCGCAUACUGCAGUACCGUGCGGGUUCCUUGAUUGAGUGCCAGAAACUCAUUCAGCUUGCGAUCAAGAAUGUCGGCUGGGAUGUGGUGUCCUCUGAAAGCAGUCUUGAAUUCCUCCCAAGACAUGUCACGAUCAGCGGGGAGCAUAGCACGGAAGUGGUCCCACCAAGUCCGAGCAGGGCCGCGAAGCUGCUGCGCGGCAAAGCGAGCCUUGGCAUCAUCGGGGCAGUCUCCCGUGAGGAGGGGAAACUUGGACUCAACGACGUGGAGCCACACAUCAGCGUCCAAUGGAUCCUCUGCCUUGGUGAACAAGAUUGGAUGCAUACUCAGGAACUCCUGGUAGGUUGCCGCUGCCGGAGGUCGCUGAUGCUGGCCUCCACCAUGCUGCUGAGGGUGGGGCUGGCGCUGCAAGAGCUGUCGCAGAAUCUCGUUCUGCUGGGCCAUCAGCUCCUGCACUGUGGGAGCUGGAGGAGGUGGCGGGGGAACCUGCUCGUUAUGCCGCGACACUGCCUAGCUGCCAUCUGAAAACUGAAAUAUGAAAUUAGGGCUAAAUCUGUGAUUAAAUAAAAGUCCAGGGGUCUCAUUGAAACAAACCAGGGACCUAUGCGCUAAAACAGAGGACGGCGGGUUGAUUUUCUAAAACCAGGUGGUUUCUUAAGCAAAAUAGCCACGCGAAAGGGUAUCGGGUGAAUCCAAUCGUCAGAUCUACAACCAACGACUGAGAUUAGAUCUGCGGCCGAGGGCGCGCGCGCGGGCGGGCGAGCACUGACAAGCGGGUCAGGGGCAUCAGCGGCAGAGGGGGAGGGCGCACUGACCGAGUGGGCCCAGUGCUAGAGGAUGUGGGCGCUAACAGGCGGGCCAGGGAGUCAGGGCGCGAGGGCGCGAAGCAGUAUCCUAGGGUCCGGGUUGUUCGAUCAAGAUCGGACGGAGGGGGUCCGAGGGGGUCCGAGCCGUUUGAUUAAGAUCGGACGGGGGAAAAUCAGACCGGGAAGGAUGAGUGGCCACGGGUGGCACUAACAGGCGGGUCAGGGCGUCAGGUGCGUGUGCGCGAAGCGGUACCCGCGGUCUGGGCCGUGCGAUCAGGAUCGGAUGGAGGGGAAUCAGAUCGGGGAAACAGACGUGCGUGAAGCGGCACCGCUCCUCUUCGCGGCGGUGAGGUCACCGGAGUUGAGGCAGGCGCGAGCUAGGGUUGCUCCGGGGUCGCCGGAGUUGGGCAGAGAGGGAGAGGGCGCCACGACGAACUUAAUGGCUGGGAGGAGGCCAUGAAUCCAUGGGCAGAGAGGGUAGAACGGUGGUGAGAAGGCCUCGGGCGGGCCGGAGCAACUCCGGUGAGCCAUUCCGGCCACGGGGAGGGGACUUAAGGCACGCUAAGGCCUGGGCUAGCUUCAGCAGAGGUAGGGGUGACACAAGGACCUACUCCGGGGAACUAGACCGGGCUAAAUCGGCUGGCCACCGCGCGAGCACGGCAGACCGCCGCGAUCGAGCAUCGGCGAAGGCGAAAUUGGACGAACAUAGGACGCAAUAAGGGAAAUUGGGCACGGGGACGUGUGUCUCACCUCGGGGCGGAGCUCGGAGAGGCUUGGAGCGGUCUCCGGCGAGCUGGAUGGCCAGGAAUGCGAGCGCGGGUCUCAGGCGGUGGCUGGCGGCAUGGGCAGAGCGCGAGAGAGGGCGAAGCUGAGCGAAAUGAGGUGAGGGGUGUGCGCGGGGCACUGGCGGGGCUCUAAAAAGGGAGCUGGGCGCGUGGGCGGGCGUCGUGGCCGAGAAAUCCGGUGACGUGCGUGAGUGCGCACGCGCCGGUCCACGGCGAGCACGGAAGGGGCGGAACUGACAGGGAGGGUCCACGGCGCAGAGAGAGAGAGAGAGGAAAGGGCACGCAGGGCAAUGGCUCGGCGACUAGCGAUUCGAGCCCGCGAGACAUAGAGAGAGAGGGAGUGCGCGGGCGAAUAACUGGCGCCGACAGGCUGGGUCCGCCUGUUAGGGGCGGCAGGCAUGCGCGCGGGACUGGGUCUCGUGGGCUGGUUUGGGCCGAAAUGACUUUUUUCUUUUUCCCUGGAUUUUCUAAUUCCUUUUAUAUUUCUCUUUCCAUAGGGUUUUCAAAUCCAAAUUCAAACUAGGUUUCAAAUUCAAACUUGUGCAACACUUCAAAGAAUAUUUUAAACUCAGCAUGAUGCAACAUGUCAUGACUCAUAAGGUUUUGGCAAAAAAUAAAUAAUUAACCUCCACUAGUUUAGGCUAUCUCUAAUCAAAAAGGAAGAAGGCAGAAUGAGUCUAGAGAGAGAAAACCUAGAGUGAGAAAAAGAAGAGUAACACAUGAUUUUUGGUGAUAAUUAUAAAGAAAUUUUAUACCCCCAAAAUCAGGGUGUUAAACUGUGUGUUCCAGAAGAGCAGUUGCCAGUGGAAGGUCUGGAGGUCCAGGAGGACUUGACCAACAUAGAGAAGCUAGUGUAGAUUCUUGAGACUGCAGACAGAGUCACCCGGAGGAAAACAAUCAGAAUGUGCAAGGUUAGAUGGGAUCACCACUCUGAGGAAGAGGCAACAUGGGAGCGUGAAGAUGAUCUGAUGACCUUACCCUGAACUCUUUGCUAGCCAACCUUGAAUCUCGAGGGCGAGAUUCUUUUAAGGGGGAUAGGUUUGUAACGCCCUAAAUUUGGGGGUAGAAUUUUUUUCUUCUUUUUACUCACCAAAUUCAGGCGUUACUCUCUUUUCUCUUCCCGUUUCGCUCCUUCCCAAUUUCAAAGCGGUGUAGCGACUGGUGUCUGUAUUACAUGUAAACAAAAACCUAAGUUGUCAUGGGUGUUGCAUCAUGCCGAAGCAUAUUUCUUUUGUCUGAUGUCGUGUUUAACCGCGUGUUCGUCUCGUCUCGUUUCAGAUUUUGGUUCGCGAUUGGAGUCCGAUCUGUGGUAGCGUGUGUUGUGGGCUUUUGUCCCGGCCCGCGACCCAGCCCUGCCCAGUUCGGCCCGGCCCGGUCCGGCGCGCCCCUGGCGCCCGUGCCUCCCCCAUGCGCCCCUCCCUUCUCUCCCUUUCUCUCAUUUGAUUUUCCCAUGCAGCAAUCUCCUCUCCUCCACCUCUCUCUCUCCCCGUGGUACCCUAGGUUUUGGAGACGGUGAUCGCUGGAUUUAGCCCCCCGAGGUGAGCUCCCCUCUCCCUCUCCUUGUCUCUCUUCCCAUCCCCUUCUUCUCCCCAAGGCGUGGCCCCCUCCCCCAGCCCCCUAGUGUGCGGCGGCGCCCCUCCCCUGGCCCCCGGCGCGCGGCGCGGCCCCAUCCCCCGGCCCCCUGGCGCGCGGCGGCGGCCCUCCCCUGGCCCACAACGCGCGGCGGCGCCCCUCCCCUGGCCCCCAGCGCGUGGUGGUGCCCCUCCCCUGUCUCCUAGCGCGCGGCACAACCCCUCCCCCUGUUCCCCUCGCGCGGCGCGGCCCCGCCCGGCCCUGCGCGGCGACACAGCCCCUUGGGCGCGGCUCCCUGGCGCCCCUGCACGUGGCCUCAACUUCCAGCGUGGCCCCCGGCACGCGACCCCUGCCCCGGACAGCGUGGUCCCCAGCACGGCCCCUGCCCGGCGCGCGGCCCCUCGCAGCUUGCCCAGCGUGUUCCCGCGCGUGCAGCCCUAGCGCGCGUGGCGAUCGAAUCUCGGCUUAAUUAGUUUUUAAAUUUAGUUUAAUGAACGUGAUGCGUCGCGUGGAAAUUAGUUGAUUUCAGAUUCUAUUGACGUGUUGCGUCGCGCGACGAUUCAUCCUAAUUUCAGAUUAUUUAAUGUGUGGCGUCACGCGAUGUUUCAUUUUAAAUUCAGUUUAGAUGGCGUAUGCCAUCGUGCUUUUUGUCGCGCGACGCUUAACGUCUCUUUAUAAUUAAUGCAAGUGUCUCGUUACGCUCCGUCGCGCGACGAGUCGUUUAUUUCUUAAUUCAAUUUAAAUGUUGUGUCGCGCGUUUCGCCUCGCGACAAUCCUUUUAAUUUACCUUUAUCUGUUCAUAAUAAUUAAACAUGGAACAUUACUUUACCCUAUGCUAAACGCGAUGGCUAAAGUAAUACCGUUCUGUUUAGAUGAGUAUUUUAAUUUAUAAUCGUGUGACGUGAUCGCUCGUUGGUCGUAGCCUCGACCGUUACUUUCCCUUCCUCACUUAGUCGUAGGUGUGAGCCCUGCGUCGAACGUCUGUUUAUUUAAUAUAUUCUAUUGUUUGGUGUACUGUUCUUUUGUAUUAAAUUUGUGGAUUGUAUGUUUGAAACUCGUAUAGAUAACGGUCAGUUGGUGGAGUCCAAAGGAGUUGCAGGUGAAGACCCUAAGCAGCAGUCGGUUGGUGAAGGCAAGUGUCCCUUGACCCAUCUAUGUCCUACUCAUUCUUAUAAUUCAUUCCCCGCAUUUACACAGUUUAUACCUAAGGAUUGACUAGCUUUUGUUUAUCUUGUCCUUGUUUACCUAUUCUGGUUGGGUUAUUCUAGUUUAGCUAUAUGCUAGUGCUUCACAUUAAUCAAUGAACAUGAUGAGAUUAUCUAUGAUACACUGUUUUCCCUUUUGAUUAUGAUGAUGGUACUUGUGGCAUUUAAGGGGGCUCGAGCUGCUUCUUGAGUAACUCUCCGUAAGGACUGGUUCGGUGGAUGACCGCCCGGGAAAACAGUGCAACCAUGAGGGUGGAGUGGGACGCGCUUAGCUGAGUAAUUAGAGGAACUCGGGUGUAGUUCGCUUCGCCGUCGUGCCGUUAAUGGGGCUCGGUGUAUGAGGCUCGCUCUGCCAAGGUUGGUUCGCCCCUUAGGGAGGAGUGCGAUGCAUUUAGGAAACCUAACGGGCAGCUACAGCCCCAGGAAAUCUUUGUAAAGGCUACAUAGUGAGACCCUGCCUAUUCACCUUGGUAGUGUUUAAGGAUUUGAUCGGCCCGAGGCAAGAGGGAAUCAUGGCUUGUGGGUAAAGUGCGCAACCUCUGCAGAGUGUUAUGAAACUGAUAUAUCAGUCGUGCUCGCGGUUAUGAGCGGCCAAGGGAGCUCCAUUGAUUAGAGAUACUUGAUCAGAGAUGUAUGGUUUACCGGUGGUGAUGAGGAUGAUGGUUUUGGUUAUGACUAUGGUAAUGGUAAGUGGUAUUCUUUCCGUUUGGAAAGGGUACAUUGGGUUAAUAACUUGGGUUAAUACUAAAACCUGGCUUUCUACUAGUAAUAAUAACCUGACCAACUAAAAGCAACUGCUUGGCUUAACUCCACAUAAAGCUAGUCCAUUACAGCCAAACGGGACAUUUUGCUGAGUAUGUUGAUGUGUACUCACCCUUGCUUUACACACCAACCCCCCCCCCCCCAGGUUGUCCGCAUUGCAACCACUGCUCAGGUGAAGAUGAAGUCGGGGAGGAGGACUUCCAGGAGUUCCAAGAGUACGAUGAGUUCUAGGCGUGGGUUAGCGGCAAACCCCCAGUCGGCUGCCUGUGCAGGCCGUGUGUAUCUACGUUUCUUUUCCGCACUUUGAUUAUUGUUAAAGACUAUGUGGAUGUCUCGGACAUCAUGAUGUAAUCGACUAUUAUACCCUCUUUUAUGGCAUUAUUUUAGCACUGUGUGAUGAUGUCCAGUUAUGUAACUUUUGUGUACGUGAAUUGCUGAUCCUGGCACGUACAUGGUUCACAUUCGGUUUGCCUUCUAAAACCGGGUGUGACAGUUAGAUGCGUGACUACCUAGCGGAGCUCACUGGGGCGGUAGUUUAUAGGUUUCAUCGGUGGUGACGUCCAAUUUUGUGAUGGCGUGCUGGCGGCCGGAGAGAGGGGAGGUCACUAGCGCGAGUGAUUCGUGGCUUUCACCGCGGCAUGACCACCGGCGUUGAACGGACAUGCUAAGGCGAUUCACUGCGACGUGGUAGAGCACCUAGGCACGUGGCAUCCGAGCGGCAGGCGGCCAACUCUGACGAGGUUAUCUGGACCGGCAGUAAGGCAAGUGGGUAUGACGACUAGGGCGAAACAUUGUCCCAAGCUCAUCCCCAGUGCUAGAUUUUUCAUCCGAUGAUCGUUAUUUGUGUUUAACUGGGCAUGAAUCGCGACGCCGUAGUGAAUCCGGGCGCGAGAUCACCGACGACGGGGGGGCUGAACCUGAGAUCUUAUUCAGUUUACUGUACUAUCAGACUUUCAUCAGAGCGUCUGACAGACUGAUUUGCAGGGCCCAGAUCUCAGUUUUUUAUGUAGUAAUGACUUAAUCCAUCUGUAUCAAAGUUGUAGCUCUAUAAACCAGCUACAAUUCGGCUAUAGAGACCUUGCUCAUUUACUUACUCCCUUGAGCUUGAAUCGAGUCCAAAGUUCAUCAGAACUCACUGUCAGACCAGUAUCAGACUGUAUGGAUGAUUGACAGCAAUACUUUGAGUCCAUUUAACUCCAAUUUUUGUACAACACUCAUGUCUUGUUAUUUAAACAAAGUUAUGCUCCUUUAGUAGCUCUACAAAUUUGAUGUGUUGACCCUAAGCAAAUUCCUUGUAGGUUUAGAAAUAUAGAGCUCCAAAGUCAGCCCUAUUCAACUGAAUUCAGACUUAAGCACAUGGAGUUCAUGGGGUACUUUUUGCAAAUAAGUCCAAAUUCCACUAUUUAGCUUGCAAAUUCUCAAAUGUGAAAAACACAUGAUUUGUGGUGUUCUAUCACUUUGGUAUUUGCACUUUGGUCCAAAAGUGCACAAAAUUUACAUCUACCCCCUUAGGGUUUCAAUUAGGGUUUUCUAGGGUUUCUUUUAGGGCUUUGAGUACUUUAGGGUUUUUGUGUCACUAGAGUCUAUCAAAGGUGAUAUCUUAUGAUCAUUUCUCAUGUCUUUUGUGGUUUUAACUUAUUUGGGCUUCACUUUCACCCAUAAGCCCUAAUUUAGGGUUAAGCACUCUACCCUAGGGUUAAUCACACAUCAAGUCACAUCAUUACAACUUGUUUGAAAUUUUUACCUAGUGAAUGCACUCUAGGUGUAACAAACACAUGAUAUGCCAAUGCUCAUGAUGUUAUGCUCAAGUUUUAGUGACAGUAACACCAGGGGUGUUACAGAUGCCUUCGGCACCUGGCCAAAACGUAGGCUGAACCGGGUGAUGGACGGAUUAAACUUUGAAUAUCCGGAUUACGAAAGGCUUGACAAAGGGGCCGAAGGGGUGAAAAGGAAGAGGAUUGUCUGCAUCCUGAGUAGGCAAGCUGAAGAUGAGAAAAUUUUGAAGAAAACAAAGACAGCUCCUGAGCCGAAAGCGACAUACUAUAAAAAGCGAAAGCUUGACAUAACACCCUCUGUUGAGCCGAAGGUGGAUGAGACAGGAGAAAAAGCUCCUUCAACGCCAUCUGCUGCCGAAGUAGCAGAAAUUUUAAAGGUAAUGACUGAUUCUCAGCACUUCAAGCUGCUUUUUCCUCUAGGAUUAGAACUGACACAAUUUUUACAGAAGAAAGAACAACCUUCGGCUGGAAAGGAGAAGGUUGAAGGGCAAAAGAAACAACGAAUAGUUAACGUGAUGCAAGCCGUCGAGCGAACACCGCCUUCAGCCUCAGCGGCUAAAAUAGUGACUGCUGCGAGUGCCGAAGCGGAUGCUGCUGCCGAAGUCAAAAACAGUGAUGAAGCCGAAACAACAAUGUCAGAUAUUGAUACGCUCAUAUCAGAUGUGGUUAAAGAUGUGGCUGUAGAGGAAGAAAUGGUCGCAGCACCAAACAAAGAAUGGGGAAUUGAUGCUAGUCCUUCGGGUGAAAAUAUUUCAAUCUUCGGCACCUGGGCGGACAAGAAUUGUCUGAAGAGGACAAGUCAGAGUUGUGGGAAUUUGCUAUAUCUUGCGGAUAUCAACCAGGGGCUUUGCUCUUCGGGGGGGGGCUUGACGAGGAGAUCCUAGGAUGCGUCCGCGACCUUGCCGGGGCAAAGAUAGUCGACACUCUAUCCAAGAGUGUUGGCUUUCCAAAGCUAGAGGGUGAUAUCAGCUACUACCGACGGCAACAUAUUGUCGGUAGCUUAUUUUAUUCCAACUUCAAGGUAAGGCCUUUGACUAGGUUGUUAUUAUUAUCAUCUUCGCGGUGAAUUAAAUGUUCUGACCAUGACUUGUUGCAGAGCAUGCUGCUGAGCAAAGCUUUGAAAAUGUAGCAAGAUAACGAAGAUAAGAAAAACGAGAUUAUAAUUGAAGGCUUGGAGAAUAGGAUAAAGGAUAUUGAAGCUUCUGUUGAAGAGAAAGAUUUUCUGCUGCGAGCAGCGGAAGGCUCCCUUGCGGAUGUACAGUCUCAAAAUACUAAAUUAAGCGAGGAACUUGACAAUGCUCAAACAAUUUUAAAGAAAGAAUCAGAGCGCAUCGAGCAGGAAACAAAAGAACUGCAAGCGAAAGCUGAAGCCGAAGCUGAGAAAAAUACGAAGCUACGAGAGUCAUUGAAAGACCUUCGGAAUAAGUGCACGGAUUUUGCCACCCGUUGUGUGAACCGACUAAAAGGAAUAUUCAACUCGGUUGGAGCUAGUUCUGAAGAAAUUGCUCCUUCGGCUGAAGAUAUCCCCAAAGCCUUCGAGCAUAUUGAGAAUGAAGUUGAAGCACUCGAUGAAGUUAUAACUGGGCACGGGGAUUUCUGUGCUUUGUUAGCUUCUCGUGGCACAACUGCUGCAUUUUUGAAGGCCGGAUGUACUCAUGCCAAAACAGUUAACAAACCAACCUUCAACCUCUCAUCAUCAGACUUAGUUGAUAUUCCUGGUGAAGCCCGUAGCAUUGGAAACAAAUUUAUCACUCAAAUUUGGGCUAAGGGAGGGCGCGAGCUAGCUGGAGACGAAGCUCGGAAACUGCUCAAUUCAGUAUAAAACUUUUACCUUGGUUUUUCUUUAUUACAUUUGCAAUUACCUAAUACCGUCAUCUGUCUGCAGGAUGGUGGCGCCGAAGGUCACUAAGCCAAAGCUUGUUCCGAAGGGCUGAUAACUCUUAGAGCUUCUUUUUGUAAUUAUCUGUAGAAAACUUGGGAUCUCUUUGCAUUAUUUGACGAAAGAUUGUAAUUGAGAGUUGAACACAACAUUGUACAUAUUUGUCCAUACCUUGUGUGAGUUGCUUUGCUGUGGACGAAACCCACACUUACAAUUUUUGAGCCGAAAGCAAAAAAACACCUUCCCUUCUUUUCGUUCACAUCGAAGCAUCUUCGUAUUCAACGAAGCAUUUUGUCACCAAAGACAUGCAUCUUUUUUCUUUCCUGUUAAGGCCUAUGCUUCAUGUCAUGAUAAUGAUGAUCCUACGAAUGUCUAAUGAAUGUUUGUAUGAAUGCAAAGAAUUAUGUGAUGAAAUAUGCAAAUGUAUGACCCAAACACAAAUGAAACCACACCCAGACUCUGCAUCCCCUUAGGAAUGACUUUUGAGUCUCUUCACCUUCUAUUUUGGUGGCAUUUAAGCUCUGCAUCCCCUUAGGAAUGACUUUUGAUCUUCUUCACCUUCUAUUUCAGUGGUAUUUUGGCUCUGCAUUCCCUAAGGAACGACUUUUGAGCUUCGGAACUUACUCUGCGCUCCCUUAGGAACGACUUUUGUAGCUUCAUCACCCUCCAGGUGACACUUUAGCUCUACAUCCCCUUAGAGAUGACUUUUGAGCUUCGAAACUUACUCUGCGCUCCCUUAGGAACGACGUUUGUAGCUUUGUCACCCUCUAGGUGACAUUUUAGCUCUGCAUUCCCUUAGGGACGACUUUUGAGCUUCUCCCUAUUCUUUUUUGCACUCGAUGGUGCAUAUUCUGAUGCUACAUGUUACAUUCUUAGGGGAAUUUGGCCCUUGUAUUUCAUAGGGCUAAACAAGAAAAUUUGAAAAUUACAAACUAUGGCUCCAUUAAAAACCUUUCUCCCCUCUUGAAAGGAAAAGGGUGCCAAAGGAAAAGAAUAAGAAAAUUACAUCAAUUACACAUAAUAUCGACGAAGCUCAUCCGCAUUACAAGACCUGGGUAUGUAGUUGUCGUCCAUGUCCUUCAGUCUGUAAGAACCGGGUAUUAAUGAAGAUACUACCAAAAACGGGCCCUCCCAUUUUAGCUGAAGCUUCCCCACUGUAUUAGGGUUAGCUAUCCUUCGAAGCACCAAAUGACCUAGCUUGAUAUUUUUCAAUCGAACUUUUCUGUCACGCCAUUUUAUUAUUUCGGCCUGGUAUUUGUUGAUGUGCUCUAUGGCCUGAAGUCUGGUCCCUUCUAUAGUGUCUUUUGUUACUUGGCAAUCGACUUCAUCCUCCGUCGAAGCUAAGGUUCUUAGUGAACCCAUUCUUGCUUCUUCCGGUGUUAUUGCUUCGUCACUGAACAAAAGCUUGAAUGGAGAAAACCAUGUUGACCUUGAUGCAGUGGUGUUGUGGCUCCAAACCACUUUUAUUAAUUCGUCUGGCCACUUCCCUUUCGGCUGAUUGAAUUGACUUCAUUAUUCAUGUUAUUAUGAUUCCAUUUGCCCUUUCUACCAACCCAUUUGACUCCGGGUGCCUCAUUGAUGCAAAGUGUAUUUUUGUGCCAAUUUGGCUACAAAAAGUUUUGAAAGUUUUAGCAUCGAAUUGAGUUCCGUUAUCAACGGUAAUAGCCUUCGGUACGCCGAAGCAACAAACUAUGUUCUGCUAGAAGAAUUUUUGCACUGUGGCCGAAGUUAUUGUAGCCAAAGGCUUUGCUUCAAUCCACUUAGAAAAGUAUUCCACUGCCACUACAACAUAUUUUAGGCUGCCUAGCGCUGGUUUUAGUGGCCCUAACAAAUCCAAUCCCCAUCUUUGCAAUGGCCAUGUUGGUUGUAUUAGUUGGGUUAAAGACGAAGGUUGUUUCUCGUCUCUGGCACAUCUUUGGCAAUUUUCACAUUUCUGAACUAAAUUUGCCACAUCCAAAGCUGCCUUCGCUAAGUAAAAACCUUGUCUGAAAACUUUUCCUAGCAGAGGUCUAGACCCAAUGUGGGCUCCACAUAAGCCUACAUGUAUCUCCUUCAUUAAUUCCUGCCCUUCAAUUCUGGACAAGCAUUUGAGCAACAGGGAGCAAACUCCAUGCUUGUAUAACUCCCCUUCUAUUAUUACAUAAGGUCUUCUCCUUGCUUCCUGUAACACACCUGGUGUUAUUGUCACUAAAACUUGAGCAUAACAUCAUGAGCAUUAGCAUAUCAUGUGUUUGUUACACAUAGAGUGCAUUCACUAGUCAAAAAAAUUUCAAACAAGUUGUAUUGAUGUGACUGGUCAUGGGUGAAACCCUAGGGUAGGGUACUUAACCCUAAACUAGGCCUAGGAGUGUCAAUAAAGCCUAAAUGAGAGAAAACUUCAAAACUCAUUAGAAGUGGUCAUAAGAUAUCACCAUUAAUGGAAUUGAGUGGCAUUCAAACCCUAGAAGUGCUAACAACCCUAAAAAGACCCCUUGAAAACCCUGAGUUGAAACCCUAGGGGGUUAUAUGUAAAUUUGGCACACUUUUCGAUCCAAGUGCAAAAACCAAGGUACUAGGGUACCUCCAAUCAUAUGGUUCACAUAUUUGAGGAAUUGCAAAUCAAACCAUGAGAUUUGGGCUUAUUUGCAAAAAGCCACUCUACACCUCUCAUGUGGCUAAGUCUGAAAACCUGUGAACAGGGCUGACUUUGGAGCUCUGUAGUUUUAAAAAUACAAAUAAUUUGCCUAGGGUCAACACAUCAAAGUUAUAGAACUAUCAUAGGAGAAAAAAUUUACUUAAGUAACUAAGCUUUGAUCACAUACAAAGUUUGGGGAAAAAUAAGCUCAAAGUUGUGCGGUCAGUCACUCUGAUAACUGAAUUAAGGUCACCAGUGACAUUGGCCAGACUUGUGGGUCAAAUUGGAGUAGGAGCCAUUGCUAUAGUCAUUUUGUAGCUGGAUCAUAGGGCUACAAGUUUGCUACAAAUGAAUUAGCAAGUUCUUCUACGAAAAUCCAAGAUCUGGGCACUACAAAUUUGUUUGUCAAACUGACUGAAUGAGGAUCCAAUGGUACAGUGCACUGAAAUAUCCCAAUCCACUGAACCUCACCGCCGACGAGCCGUGCGCUCGGAUUCGCGCUCGCCGCGGUGAUUCGUGCCCAAUGUAGAUGGAUAACGGCGAAGGGCUAAGAAAUAUCACACCGUGGAUAAACUCCGGUCGCCGUACCCGCCUGAGACAUGGCCUCUUCGGAUAGACACACCGGAGUUAGCCAUCUUGCGACCUUGCGCCACGUGCCUUGGAGCUUUAACCACGCCGCCGUGAGUCACCUUAGCCCACCCGAUCAUCGUCGGUGAGCUCGCCACGGUAAACGCCACCAAUUGCUUGUGCUAGUGCACCCCCUUCUCUCCGGCCGCCACCGCGCGAUCUCAAAUUCACGAGGCACCGCUCAAGGGACCUAUAAAUUGAGCACGCCCUCAGCUCCGCUAUGUAAUUGUGCACUCAACACACCCACUCGUGCCUCCAAUUACUCACCAGAGCCCCCGAAUUGCUGAGUUCCCCCAAAUCAGUUUUCCACCGCCGUGAACAAGCUCUCACCGUGGCCAGUGCACUCCAGGUCCGAUCUUGUCCUCUGCUCUCUUGUUUCAGCACCCUUACAUGCACCUGAUGCUUCUCGACCCGACCGAUUAGGCUAGAACCCCUUAGAUCAUCGGGAACACUUCAUGAUGUGCAUUGUGCCCGCUGUCACCGUGGACAGGAUGAUUUAGAGCUCAAAUCUAACAAUUAAGUGAGGGGAAAUGAUCGCGUAGGGUUGAAUUCGGUGUCCAGCAAAGGGGAGGGAUAGUCGUUGUUCUUUCUGGCCGGUACAAGUUCGCCAGAGCUCGGUUCAUCGCCGUUUGCUGUCGAGGACCGCGGGUUGUGAAGAAUUAGAAUGUGGAGGGUUUCGGUGUAAAUGUCAGUGACCCAUUUCAAUAGUGCGUAGGGUUCUUCACUAGUUAUUCAAAUCCCUGGGGACCUCGGUGCAAACUAUCCACCGCGGGCGCGCGCAGCCGCGUUUCCCCUGUUCUCGGGCUGACUUGGGCCAGUUUCGGCCCAAUACUAUUCAUGCUUUUUCCUUCUCUUUUUCUUCCAGGGUUAAAGAAUUCAUAGAAAAUUGUAGAAAAAUGCUAAAAAUACUAGACCAAUUUUGUUAUAUUCCUAAAUUUCUAUAGUAUUUAAUAAAAAUAGUUUUAUAAUUUUUAGUCCAAAUAAGGAAUUAUGGAGUAUUUAAAAUAGCCAAAACCUAUACUCCUGGAAUUUUAGAAAUUAUUUAGUAAUUCGAAAAAUCACUAAACUUUUUGGAUAAGCUUUAAAUGUUAUUUAGAAGUCUUGGGUAAAGUUUGGCAUGAUUUGGACAAUGUUUGGUAACUAAACCCCAAAACCCUAAUCCUUUAGUGAUGCCUACCCUAUGAACUACAAUAUUGAGUUCAAAAACCCUAGUUUCCUAGACUCUCGUGAAGGAAAAUUGUAUUCAAUACCUAAGAUAAUGUACCUUUAUUAUCUUUGCAUUUUCAUAAGCAUUACGUGAGCAUUCAUGAUUAUAUAUGGUUCUAUAUAGAAAACGAAGAAGAAAUAGAGGUUGAAGAAGGAAAAGCUACACCACCACCUGAAGACCCACCUGCCGGGAACUGCUUUUAUUUUGACAUUUGUGGAGCAGAGCUCGACUCUCCUAUAACACAAGGCAAGCCUCGGUGCAUUUGCCACCUCCUUGCUGUUUUAAAAACCUUUCUCACUUGCUUGAUGCAUUAAGUAAUAGGAAUUGUGUGCUAAACAAAUUGAUGCAUUUCCUUCCUUGAGAAUUUGAUUACCUUUCCUUGAUCACCUGUUUUAUAAAAAGGUUUUUCUUGUGCUUAGUCUUGCUCUAAAAAACAAAAUGUUUUGUUUUGACAAAAGAUGAUGCUUCAAGUGGGAUGGGAUGUUUUUCAAAAAUAAAACUGGAUGGUGGAUCCAUCAUGGUCGUGAUGGGUUCAACAUCGGAAAAGAUGUACCUCUGUUAGGUACAAAACUUUGGGUUAAAAUGAUAAAGCUGAGACCAGGCGGGUGACUUGCACAAGAAGAGAGUCUUGGUGUAGUGUCUCCGUCUGAGUCGAUUAAGGACCGUCUCGAUGUAGGCUUGAUGAUCGACGACCUUUUAACUGGUCACAUGCCUCAUCAUGGGUAAGCUUUGCCUCGGGUAGACUAAUACCAGAAUAAGACAACACGCAAUGGGAGUGGAGAGAUGGCGAGAGUAGUGUGUACCCUCUAUGGCAAGAGGCUGGACGGUGGUGUAUCUGUGCUCUCGGUUGGCGUGAACCUGAUCUGGUCUUAAGAACCCCGGUGGCGAGUUGACAUAUGCAAGGGUUAAGUGCUACAUAUGUCAUGUGAUUGGAGAUCCCUAGCUGGGUAUUAAUCGAUUUGGAUCGCCGUUACUUCUCAAACAUGAAGACUUGGUCACUGACUUACACGUAGCAUUCCAGUAAACAAGAAGGGUUGAUAAGAAAAUGGCUAGUAUAGGCCAAGUGCUUGAACUAGGGUAGAAGGAACUUUAGAAUUCAGGUAAUGACUCAACUUGCUAAUAAAACUGGAUUUUUAAAGAUCCACUAUUAGUAAACAUUUUUGCAAAUAGAGUCUUAAUUAUUGAUUAAGCCUUACCUUGACUCCCUCAAGCCAGCAUAUCCUUGAGAGUCUUUUAUUUUGACAGGUAAGACUUGAGAAAGUACACUUCGUACUUAGGGUUUUUGAACCCAUGUUGUUGUAGGUGAGGACGCAGCAAAUUUUUGUUGCUUUUGUUCCAAGGUGGUGCCUAAGGAAGAAAACCAGGACUGAAGCCUCGGGAGGAUGUGUCCUCCUUUAAAAACUUUUUACUGUUAAGCGGGAGGGGUUUUUGCCUCCCGGGUUUGUAAUAAUAUUACUCCAGCACUCUUAUAUUUUACUGGUCUGUAAUAAUAAUACUCUUUCCAUACUUUAAUAUAAAAUAAGUUGUUGUAACUGCUUCCGCAUAUUCGUUCCUCUGAUGUGUUGUAAUAUCUGCGUGACUGGUGAAACGCUCUUAGGAGAGAUAAAGAAUUCAGAUAUCAAACUUGUCAAGUGAUUAGGUGCACCUACAGGGUUGUUCGAGGUCCGAUGGACAAGGACAACUGUAGGUGGGCCUAAUGACUUGGGAGGUUCUGUCACAGCUGGUAUCGGAGCGAAGCCCAUCUCUUCAGAUAUUAUGAGACAUUUCAAAAAGAAUUUUCAAAGACUUAUCUAUGAAAACUUCUUCCAUCUUAUCUUACUAACUUUCUGAAGUACUCACCUUAUAAGACCAGGUAGUAGAGUGCAAUGUAUAGAAGGUUGUGAAUCAACUAAGUUUGAUUCUGUAAUUAUGCAUGCAUCUUGUUAAAAAUAAUACUAAUAAAGCUUUUCCCCAUAUGGAGAUAUGCCGCCACGCACGAGGAAAACCGCGUGUAAGUCCACUGGACUGAUUGGCGUGCCUCGGCAUCAGCUGGCUCCAAGGCAUGAGGAGAGCAGUAGCGGCAGUAAUGACCCCAUUGGAGACCUAGAAGCCCAGGUGGAGCAGCUUCGAAUAGAGCUACGUCACAGAAAUAGGGUGUGGGUAGAAGAUGGUCAGCGUAUAAAUGAGUUAAGAGCUGACGUCUAACAUCUGCACGACGAGCUUGCCGAACGAGAUUUGGCAAUCGAUUGGGGUGUCAACUCACGUUCCAUUGCUUGGGACUGGGAAGCCAAAGCUCCAGCCCGUGCGGAGGACCUUAGCACGGCCGUUGACAACUUGCAGGUGUACUGCAAUAAAUUACAAGAGGAAGUUCAUGAAUUGUAUUCGCGACUGCACCCAGACGUACCUGCCGACCCUGUUGGAAUGGGAGUCGGACCUUCUAGAACAGCAGGUGAAGAACUUUGUGGGGAAUUGGACCUUUUCAAGCCCCCUCCUUCUAUGAACCUGGCUGAUGAAUGGUCCCCUACAACCGACAGUGAAGCAACUAAAGAUGAUAAAUACUAUAGUAGUAUAGUUUAGAAAUAAUGCUAAUGUAAAAUAUGUAAUAAAGUCAUGUUGUACAUUUGAGUUUGUAACAUUACAUCUUAGUAAUGUAAAAUGAUGGUGUGUAUCAGCAUGUUAUAUUUUUCCCAAAUAUUUCUUUGCUUCAGAUGCCAUCCUAAACUCGUGCACAUAACGGCAUGGGAACGUCCCAUGGUCAAGAAGAUACACCCAAUCCACUGCUGGUACCGCCCACGUUGGCCGAGGCUAUCGCUGCCUUGGUCACUGCAACCGCUGACAACACCCGCUUCCUACGUGAAAUGGCGGGAAAUCAAUUUAAGCAGCAAGGCGGGAGGGCUUAUCCGCAGGGACCCCGCGAAACUUUGUACCUAGAUUUUUCGGAAACCCGUCCCCCACUUUUCGUCAAAGCCGAAGAUCCUGUCGAAGCCGACGAAUGGGUUCAGGUCAUUGAGCAAAAAUUUGGGCUCAUCCGCUGCACGGAGACCCAAAAGCCGUUAUUCGCAGCUCAGCAACUAAGAGGCCCUGCCAGCACCUGGUGGGGAAAUUAUGUGGCCAUUCAGCCUGCCGGACAUCAGGUCACAUGGGACGAAUUUAAAUUAGGGUUUCAUGAGCACUACAUUCCAGAAGGAGUGCGCACAUGAAGCAGGAAGAAUUCAUGAGACUCAAGCAAGGAGGAGAUACUGUCAUGCAGUAUCUCAACAAAUUCAAUCAUUUGUCCCCAUAUGCAAUUGAUCAGGUCAAUACUGACCUGAAAAAGAAGAACUGCUUCAUGCGAGGCCUCAAUGAUCGGCUACAAAGAAAGAUGGCCACUUGCCUCGAUCUCUCCUACAACAGGGCUAUCGGCACAGCGUUGGUAGUUGAAGCUAAACAUGCAGGCCUAGGAAAAUCAAAGGGAAUUGGAGGUGACAGGUCCAACUAGGGGCCUGACAAGCGACAAAGGUUGGUAAUCCGACCUUUCAAUCAAAACCGUUCUUCACCUCGUCCACCCUCCUACCCCUUCAAACAUCCUGUAUUCACCCGCCCUGCCACUGCCCCCACUUCAACAACUCAGCCGAGUGCCCUUGGCGCUCGUUUCCCCGCCCUCCCGAGUUCUACAACUGGCUGCUUCAAUUGUGGGAAGUCUGGACAUUUUAUCAAAGACUGCCCAUAUCUGAGGCAGAACAAAUCCAAGAAUCAGCAGAACCCAGGGAGUUCAAGCCAAGGCAAGGGAAACAUGGCAAAUAAUUCAGCGGGCAAGAAUAUAAAGAAGACUGGGCGAAUAUACUAUACACAAGUGGCCACUACACCGGAGGGAGAGCCGGUUAUGAUGGAUACGUUCCUCAUGGCCAAUCACCCUACAAUCAUUCUCUUUGAUUCUGGUGCUUCGCAUACAUUCAUAAGCAAGAAGUUUGUGGAGAAAUAUUGCAUUCCUUGCAUUGAAUCAAAGGAAGGGUUUAUUAUUCAUUCGCCUGGGGGACAAAUAUUCACUAAAGAAGUGACUUUCCAUGUGCCCGUAACAUUGCUGAAUGAGACUUUCCCACAAAUAUGAUUGUUCUGAAAGGCUAGGAUAUAGAUGUAAUUCUAUGCAUGAAUUGGUUAACCCAACACAAAGCUAUCCUCAACACUGAUCUGAGAACCAUCAAGUUGAGCUAUGGCCAUGAAGAGGUUCUCUUGUCCAUCCCUGUAGCUAUUCCAGCUAAACCAUUUGGCAGAGUCUAUGAAGCUAUCAUACCAGAAAUCCAAGAUAUUCCGGUAGUAUGUGAGUUUCUGGAUGUCUUUCCGGGAGAUCUGCCUGGAUUACCUCCAGAAAGAGAUGUAGAGUUUGUGAUUGAAUUGAAGCCUGGUAUGGGUCCUAUUUCUAGAAGGUCAUACCGAAUGCCUCCAAAUGAGUUGGCAGAGCUCAAGACACAAUUACAAGAUCUACUGGAGAAGGGAUUCAUCCGACCUAGCUCGUCACCUUGGGGUUGUCCAGCAAUUUUUGUCAAGAAGAAGGAUCAAAUGCUUCGGAUGUGCGUGGACUACAGACCCCUUAAUGAGGUCACAAUCAAGAGUAAGUACCCUCUUCCCCCGGAUUGAUAUCUUAUUCGAUCAGCUUACGAGAGCUCGGCUAUUUUCCAAAAUUGACCUCAGGUCUGGUUAUCAUCAGAUCUGUAUCCGACCCGAAGAUACACCCAAGACCGCAUUUACUACGCGGUAUGUAUUAUUUGAAUAUCUGGUUAUGUCUUUCGGAUUAACAAAUGCUCCUACCCACUUCACAUAUCUGAUGAACUCGGUAUUCAUGCCCGAGUUGGAUAAAUUUGUGGUGGUCUUCAUUGAUGAUAUCUUGAUUUAUUCCAAGAAUGAAGAGGAGCAUGCUCGACAUCUGCGGAUCGUAUUAACGCGCUUAAGGGAACAUCAACUAUAUGCUAAAUUCAGCAAGUGCGCGUUUUGGCUGGAGGAAAUCCAAUUUCUGGGACACAUGUUGUGUGCCAAGGGGAUUGCGGUUGAUCCCAGCAAGGUCAAGGAUAUUUUAGAGUGAAAACCGCCAACCACUAUACAUCAAGUCCGAAGUUUCCUUGGACUGGCUGGGUAUUACCGCCGAUUUAUCCCAGAUUUUUCUAAGCUUGUGAAGCCAAUCACAAGUUUAUUGAAAAAUGAUACAAAAUUUAACUGGUCCUCAAGAUGCAAUGAAGCCUUCAAGCAGCUGAAGGUGUUAUUGACCAUUGCUCCGGUAUUAGCUCAACUGGACAUUAAAAAGCCUUUUGAUGUGUAUUGUGACGCAUCAGGCAGUGGUUUAGGCUGUGUCUUGAUGCAAGAGGGCCGAGUCAUAGCGUAUGCCUCAAGACAAUUGAGCCGGCAUGAGGAACAUUAUCUAACUCAUGAUUCAAAAUUAGCUGCUGUGGUUCAUGCCCUGAAAAUAUGGCGUCAUUAUCUGUCGGGGAAUAUCUGUCAUAUAUAUAUAUAUAUAUAUAUAUAUAUCAUAAAAGCUUGAACUACAUUUUUACCUAGUCAUAACUAAAUAUGUGGAAGAGGACAUGGCUUGAGCUAAUUAAGGACUAUGAAUUGGAAAUUCACUAUCACCCAGGCAAGGCCAACGUGGUGGCACAUGCACUAAGUCACAAGGCUUCCUGCCAUUGUCUUACAAUGAAAACCUCUGACAUCACAUUAUGCCAAGAAAUGGAGAAGUUAAACCUGGGAAUGAUUCAACAUGGAACCUUAAAUCAAUUAAAGCUUGAGUCAAUUCUUUUGCAAAGGAUUAUUGAUGCACAAAGAAGUGAUGAGGGUAUGAAACACAUUCAUGAGAAAAUAAAGGCCGGUAAAGCAAACUGUUUCAGAAAAGAUGAUCAAGGUAUUGUAUGGUUUAAUAACCACAUAGUUGUGCCCAAGAAUGAUGAAGUCCGCCAGCAAAUUUUGGAUGAAGCUCAUCUUAGUCGCUAUUCCAUUCAUCCCGGAAGCACUAAGAUGUAUCAUGAUCUAAAGCAACAUUAUUGGUGGACGAAGAUGAAAAUCUAAAUUACACGCUAUGUGGCGAGAUUCGACACUUGUAGAUGUGUCAAAGCCAUACACAUGAAAACUGCGGGUCCAUUGCAAUCCUUACCUACACCAACUUGGAAAUGGGAAGACAUAAGCAUGAACUUUAUUGUGGGAUUACCCAGGACAACAAAAGGAUUUGAUUCUAUUUGGGUUAUAAUUGAUCGACUGACAAAAAUAGCUCAUUUUCUGCCAGUCAAGACGUACUACCCAGUCAUCACUUAUGUCCAGAUGUAUAUUGCUCGUAUUAUCAGUCUGCACGGGAUUCCAAAAACUAUAGUGUCGAACCGCGGACCACAAUUUGUAUCCAAAUUCUGGGGAGAACUCCACAAAUCUUUGGGUACUAAGUUGCUUCACAUUUCAGCCUAUCAUCCCCAAACCAGUGGGCAGACUGAGAGGGUGAACCAGAUACUUGAAGACAUGUUACAAGCAUGUGUUCUAGAAUUCCCACAGAAAUGGGAUGAUUGUUUACCAUUGGCGAAGUUUUCAUACAACAACAGCUAUCAAGAGUGCACCAAGAUGGCACCUUUUGAAGCUUUGUAUGGACGACUGUGUCGUACUCCGUUAAACUGGUCUGAACCAGGACAAAGAUGGUUUUUUAGGCCUAAUAUGGUGAAAGAAAUGGAAGAAAUAGUUCAACGAAUUAUAUAUAAUUUGAAAGAAGCCAAGCUCGCCAAAAUAGUUAUGCAGACAAACGACGCCAACCCUUGUACUUUCAAGUUGAAGACUAUGUCUACCUGAAACUCUCACAAAUGAAGGGUGUAUCUCGUUUAAGGGUAAAAGAGAAGCUUGCACCCCGGUACAUUGGUCCUUUUCCUAUCCUUGAAAGAUGUGGACCAGUGGCAUACCAACUCCAACUACCCAAAACAUUGUCUGCAUUGCAUAAUGUGUUCCACGUAUCCUAAUUGAAGAAGUGUCUUCGGGUUCCAGAUCGAACCGUUGAAGUGACGUAUGUUGCCUUAGAACCAGACUUGACAUAUUUAGAACAUCCUAUUCGUGUCUUGGAUCAAACGGACAGGAUUACCGGAAGGAGAACUCUCAAAUUUUAUAAGAUACAAUGGAACCAACACACGGAAGAUGAAGCUACUUGGGAAACCCAAGACUUUUUAGAAAAGAAUUUCCCAGGCUUUUUAGAUUCAUGUAAAUUGUGAGAUAUGUACAAUUAUUGUAAAAAAAGAGUAGACCCCAUAUCACCCCCUGCCUUGUAACAGAAAUAAGGAAAUGAAAAUAUGACACGUUUCCUUUUCCAUUACUUGCCCUAGGACUUUUAAUCUAGGGAUGAGAUUCCUUUAUGGGGGGAAGGAUGUAACACCCCUGGUGUUACUGUCACUAAAACUUGAGUAUAACAUCAUGAGCAUUAGCAUAUCAUGUGUUUGUUACACUUAGAGUGCAUUCACUAGUCAAAAAAAUUUCAAACAAGUUGUAUUGAUGUGACUGGUCAUGGGUGAAACCCUAGGGUAGGGUACUUAACCCUAAACUAGGCCUAGGAGUGUCAAUAAAGCCUAAAUGUGAGAAAACUUUAAAACUCAUUAGAAGUGGUCAUAAGAUAUCACCAUUAAUGGACUUGAGUGGCAUUCAAACCCUAGAAGUGCCAACAACCCUAAAAAGACCCCUCGAAAACCCUUAGUUGAAACCCUAGGGGGUUAUAUGUAAAUUUGGCACACUUUUCGAUCCAAGUGCAAAAACCAAGGUACUAGGGCACCUCCAAUCAUAUGGUUCACAUAUUUGAGGAUUUGCAAAUCAAACCAUGAGAUUUGGGCUUACUUGCAAAAAGCCACUCUACACCUCUCAUGUGACUAAGUCUGAAAACCAGUGAACAGGGCUGACUUUGGAGCUCUGUAGAUUUAAAAAUACAAAGAAUUUGCCUAGGGUCAACACAUCAAAGUUAUAGAACUAUCAUAGGAGAAUAACUUUGCUUAAGUAACUAAGCUUUGAUCACAUACAAAGUUUGGGGGAAAAUAAGCUCAAAGUUGUGUUGUCAGUCACUCUAAUAACUGAAUUUAGGUCACCAGUGACAUUGGCCAGACUUUUGGGUCAAAUUGGAGUAGGAUCCAUUGCUCGAUUAAGGAUAGUUGCUAUAGUCGAUUUGUAGCUGGAUCAUAGAGCUACAAGUUUGCUACAGAUAAAUUAGCAAGUUCUUAUACGAAAAUCCAAGAUCUGGGCACUACAAAUCUGUCUGUCAGAUUGACUAAAUGAGGAUCCAAUGGUACAGUGCAUUGAAAUAUCCCAAUCCACUGAACCUCGCCGCCGACGAGCUAUGCACUCGGAUUCGCGCUCGCUGCGGUGAUUUGUGCCCAGUCCAGAUGGAUAACGGCGAAGGGGUAUGAAAUAUCAUACCGUGGAUGAACUCGGGCCGCCGUACCCGCCUGAGUCACGGCCUCUUCGGAUAGACUCACCGGAGUUAGCCACCUCGCGACCUUGCGCCACGUGCCUUGGUGCUUUAAUCACGCCACCGUGAGUCACCUUAGCCCACUUGAUCAUCGCCGGUGAGCUCGCCACGGUAAACGCCACCAAUUGCUUGCGCCAGUGCACCCCCUUCUCUCAGGCCGCCACCGCGCAAUCUCAAAUUCACGGGCCACCGCUCAAGGGCCCUAUAAAUUGAGCACGCCCUCGGCUCUGCUAUGUAAUUGUGCACUCAACACACCCACUCGUGCCUCCAAUUACUCACCAGAGCCCUCGAAUUGCUCAGUUCCCCCAAAUCAGUUUUCCGCCGCCAUGAACAAGCUCUCACCGUGGCCAGUGCACUCGAGGUCCGAUCUUGUCCUCUGCUCUCUUGUUUCAGCACCCUUACAUGCCCCUGAUUCUUCUCGACCCAACCGAUUAGGCUAGAACCCCUUAGAUCGCCGGGAACACUUCAUGAUGUCCAUUGUGCCCGCUGUCACCGUGGACAGGAUGAUUUAGAGCUCAAAUCUAACAAUUAAGUAAGGGGAAAUGAUCGCGUAGGGUUGAAUUCGGUGUCCAGCAAAGGGGAGGGCUAGUCGUUGUUCUUUCUGGCCGGUACAGGUUCGCCGGAGCUCGGUUCAUCGCUGUUCGCCGUCGAGGACCGUGGGUUGUGAAGAAUUAGAACGUGGAGGGUUUCGGUGUAAAUGUCAGUGACCCAUUUCAAUAGUGCGUAGGGUUCUUCACUAGUUAUUCAAAUCCCUAGGGACCUCGGUGCAAACUAUCCACCGCGGGCGCGCUCGAAGCCGCGUUUCCCCCGUUCUCGGGCUGACUUGGGCCAGUUUCGGCCAAAUACUAUUAAUGCUUUUUCCUUUUCUUUUUCUUCCAGGGUUAGAGAAUUCAUAGAAAAUUGUAGAAAAAUGCUAAAAAUACCAGACCAAUUUUGUUAUAUUCCUAAAUUUCUAUAGUAUUUAAUAAAAAUAGUUUUAUGAUUUUUAGUCCAAAUAAAGAAUUAUGGAGUAUUUAAAAUAGCCAAAACCUAUACCCCUGGAAUUUUAGAAAUUAUUUAGUAAUUCCAAAAAUCACUAAACUUUUUGGAUAAUCUUUAAAUGUUAUUUAGAAGCCUUGGGUAAAGUUUGGCAUGAUUUGGACAAUGUUUGGUAACUAAACCCCAAAACCCUAAUCCUUUAGUGAUGCCUACCCUACAAUAUUGAGUUCAAAAACCCUAGUUUCCUAGAGUCCCGUGAAGGAAAAUUAUAUUCAAGACCUAAGAUAACGUACCUUUAUUAUCUUUGCAUUCUCAUAAGCAUUACAUGAGCAUUCAUGAUUAUAUAUGGUUCUAUAUAGAAAACGAAGAAGAAAUAGAGGUUGAAGAAGGAAGAGCUACACCACCACCUGAAGACCCACCUGCCGGGAACUGCUUUUAUUUUGACAUUUGUGGAGCAGAGCCCGACUCUCCUAUAACACAAGGCAAGCCCCGGUGCAUUUUCCACCUUCUUGCUGUUUUAAAAACCUUUCUCACUUGCUUGAUGCAUUAAGUAAUAGGAAUUGUGUGCUAAACAAAUUGAUGCAUUUCCUUCCUUGAGAAUUUGAUUACCUUUCCUUGAUCACCUAUUUUAUAAAAAGGUUUUUCUUGUGUUUAGUCUUGCUCUAGAAAAACAAAAUGUUUUGUUUUGACAAAAGAUGAUGCUUCAAGUGGGAUGGGAUGUUUUUCAAAAAUAAAACUGGAUGGUGGAUCCAUCAUGGCCGUGAUGGGUUCAACAUCGGAAAAGAUGUACCUCUAACAGGUACCAAACUUUGGGUUAAAAUGAUAAAGCUGAGACCGGGCGGGUGACUUGCAUGAGAAUAUAGUCUCGGUAUAGUGUCUCCGUCUGAGUCGAUUAAGGACCGUCUCGAUGUAGGCUUGAUGAUCGAGGACCUUUUAACUGGUCACAUGCCUCAUCAUGGGUAAGCUUUUCCUCGAGCAGACUAAUACCAAAAUAAGACAACACGCAAUGGGAGUGGAGAGAUGGCGAGAGUAGCGUGUACCCUCCGCGGCAAGAGGCUGGACAGUGGUGUAUCUGUGCUCUCGGUUGGUGUGAACCUGAUCUGGUCUUAAGAACCCCGGUGGUGAGUUGACAUAUGCAAGGGUUAAGUGCUACAUAUGUCGUGUGAUUGGAGAUCCCCAGCUAGGUAUUAAUCGAUUCAGAUCGCCGUUACUUCUCGGACAUCAAGACUUGGUCACUGACUUACACGUAGCAUUCCAGUAAACAAGAAGGGUUGAUAAGAAAAUGGCUAGUAUAGGCCAAGUGCUUGAACUAGGGUAGAAGGAACUCUAGAAUUCAGGUAAUGACUCAACUUGCUAAAAAAACUAGAUUUUUAAGGAUCCACUAUUAGUAAACAUUUUUGCAAACAGAGUCUUGAUUAUUGAUUAAGCCUUACCUUGACUCCCUCAAGUCAGCAUAUCCUUGAGAGUCUUUUAUUUUGACGGGUAAGACUUGCGAAAGUACACUUCGUACUCAGGGUUUUGGAACCCAUGUUAUUGUAGGUGAGGAAGCAGCAAAUUUUUGUUUCUUUUGUUCCAAGGUGGUGCCUAAGGAAGAAAACCAGGACUAAAGCCUCGGGAGGAUGUGUCCUCCUUUAAAAACUUUUUACUGUUAAGCGGGAGGGGUUUUUUCCUCCCGGGUUUGUAAUAAUAUUACUCCAACACUCUUCUAUUUUUCUGGUCUGUAAUAAUAAUACUCUUUCCAUACUUUAAUAUAAAAUAAGUUGUUGUAACUGCUUCCGCAUAUUCGUUCCUCCGAUGUGUUGUAAUAUCUGCGUGACGGGUGCAACGCUCUUGGGAGAGAUAAAGAAUUCAGAUACCGAACUUGUCAAGUGUAACACCCUAGGUGUUAUCUCCCGUUAAACAUCGAUUAUGGAUUUAAGCGCGGGAUGUUAGUAAAUAAAGUGGACACUGUCGGCGUUUUGGACCCGCGAGGACCAUCAACCGACCAGUAAAUUUGUUGCUGCGUGCCCCUGCCAGAUGGGUUGAUGCAAGAUGGAACACAAGAGGGAAAUGAGGCUUAUGUUAUCUCGCACCGGGGUGCUCGUAGUAGGGGUUACAAGUGUCGCGAGGGAGGGAGAGCAAGAGAGAGAGAGAGAGAGAGAGAGAGAGAGAGAGUCCCUGCGUUCGUCCGUCUCUGCUCGUCCCGAUCUCUUUACGUCAACGUCCACUUGUGUGAACGUGAGCGUUGGAACGUCCGUGUUGUAACGUGCGUCCUCCCGUCAUGUCCUCUAGGAAGGCCCUGGACAUCCCCUCUUAUAGAUACAAGGAGAUGUCUAGCUGUACAAUGGGGUGUAGCUAUGUGCUAUCGUGGCUGGUGGAGAAGCGCCUUGAGCCCUGUACACGAGCUAACGUGGCCGUCGGAGAACUGCAUUGAGCCCUGUAGAAGCAAAGCUGUCGGCGCGGCAUGGAUCCUGCUGACGUUGUCUUGCUUCCGUAGGAGGUUGAGAGCAAUCCGAUGUCAUGGGCGCACGAGGGGAACCAUCAUUACCUGUUACCGGAGUAACCUUAGAUGGGACACCGGUCUUGUUCCUUCGUAUCCUAAGGCGGCUAGCUAGGGGUAGGGUAAUGAUGUAUCCCCUGUAGCGUAGUCGGUCCGAGGCCCAGGUCGGGCGAGGCGGAGAUUUCUCCUGAGGCCGAGGCUGGGCUCGGGCGAGGUUGUGACUCCUCCCGAGGCCGAGGCCUGGGGUCGGGCGAGGCGGAGAUCUUCUUCCGAGGCCGAGGCCUGAGGUUGGGCGAGGCGGAGCUCCCUGUUGCGCCCGAGGCCAAACUCGCGGGAGAUCGUGACUCAGUUUUAUCCUGGUGGUUGGCAAAGUAGCCAGAGCGAGGCGAACAUCGCUGUUUUCGUGUCAGAUCGGUCAGUAAAUGGGCGAAGUGACUGCGAUCACUUCGACCUUGCCGACUGAGGCACGCGUGUCAGGAUAAGAUGUCAGGCGAUCCCCGCAUUAAAUGCGCAUGCGAUACGGUCGGCUGGUAAGGCGAUUUGGCCAAGGUUGCUGCACGACAAGGUCUGCCCGAGUUGGGCUUCGGGUGAGCCGAAGGUGCGUCUGCUGACUGAGGGGACCCUCGGGCGAGGCGUGAAUCCAUCCGGGACUACUGUUCCCGCCCGAGGCUGGGAUCGGAUGAGGUUGCGUCCCUUGGUAGACGUGGCCUUGACUUGAACCGCGCUUUAUCAGCCGUGUAUGGUUUGUUCUGAAGAUGUUUUCCAGCCGGAUUACGGAGCCUUGGGGGUACCCCUAAUUAUGGUACCCGAUAGACACUAAAUUUUAAUCAUCUCGCAAAAGUUCGAGUUUGGUGUCAUUUUCAUUUUGAUAAUCUACGCACUUAAAAAGGGUUCAUGAAGCUUUUGAAUUAUCGAAUCUUCGCCGCUGGCGAAUUUUGAACUGAUCGGAUCACCCGUGUAAGAAUGCGAAAAUCAGAAAACUUGUGAUUUUAUUGAAAAUUUGGAGCCCGCGUUGUCCGAACAGAACGAUGCGCGAGUUGAUUAAGUGAAUCGUUCCUCUCAGCAUGUGAUCGUUGGCGUCAGAUCAAAUGAUCGAUCACUGGUGAGGAUCGUAAAAAUUAGACAGAACUAAAUAACAGUCUCUUUGUCUUAAUUUGUUUUGUCUGUUGCGAGUUUAACAUUGUUUUUAUUUAUCCGGUCUCUUCCUAAAUUUUCGUGAUGUUCGGAACAUAUUGUCCCGAAAAUCGGUGCGUCUGGUGAUUAUUUAAAAUUCAUAGCACGCGUGAAUACGAAUUUGGAAAUUUCGUCUAGUCCUCCGAUUUCAUCUCAAACAGAUUAAGUAGAACUCGACGACUAAGUUUUCGUUGUAAAAUAAUUUAGUCCCCUUUUGUCAUCCGUUACAUCGCGUCUACAGAUUUUUAAUGGAAUUGUUCUCUAGUCGAGUGUUCGAGUAGCGAACGGAAUUCAUCUAAAGCCAACUGUAUCAAAUGCAGAUUAAAAUAUCAAAGUCGAUACUGUGGUUCUGUCCGAUUAUAUCUCACCCAGAUCCAAAUGUUUGAAUAUAUAAUAAGUAAAAAUUCAUCUGACCUCGCGAAAAUGCUCAUCAAUUCAAACUUCGUCUAGAUAUUGUGCCAUGAUAGUGCCUUAAUAGAACUCGUUUUGACUCUCCUAAAUUCUAACCUAAAACUCAGAUUAUAAUCUUGUCUAUAUUCAUAUUGUUGUUUUAAGAGGAAUAAUCUAAUUUUCUAUUCCUUAGACCCCAGCCUUAUCUCUUUAUGCGUGAUGUUUUGUUAAAAAAGAGAGGAUAUCUCUAUUUUCUUUUUACUCCGCAUGGCUGCUUCUCCGUUAUCUGCACCCGCAACUCUUCGAGUGGAGAUUUUUCAGUGCUCCUCCUAUCCGACGGCUGAAUAUUUCCCCCAGGUCGCGUGCGGUCUGAUUUUUUUUCCAACCGUCGUUAUCUUGUGGCCGCUACGCACUUCUCUCCUGCUUCUUCCACGACAGCUCCCUCGGCCUUCAUCUCCCAGCCGCUCCUCCUCUCUCCUCCCUCCAUCUCUCCUGCGUGCGCCCUACUCCCUGCUGCUCGCCCGGCCGAGCUCCCUAGCCGCCGCGCCGCGAACUCUAGCGCUCGGUGCCCAACUUCCAGCGUCGCGGCUUCCCAACUCCCUCUCCCUGCGCACGCCGCGCGCCGUUCUCCCAGCAGCGUCCCAUCGAGUCUCUCUCUCCCUCCGGUCGCUACCAUAGUCUUUCCCCGCUCUAGAUCCAUGGCACCAGAUUCGCCCAGCUGAGUUCAUCAGACCUCUGGUCUUUGCCUCCCCACGCGCCAUGGCUGUUGGAAGCUCCGUCAGCAAUUCAGCAAUUCGUUUCGUGCGUCAUCAAGAAAUCCCAAGAGUCGGGUGAAGACGGAGUUAGCAGCAUGAUGUUCACCAAGUACUCGACACAAGGGCCGAACUGGAAUCCAUGUCGUGCUCGCGGAUAGCGCGUCAGAGUUAGUAUGGUAAGCCGGUUCAUAUUUCCGUUAGUUUAAUUAUUGGAUUAAUUCAAUGAAUGCGAUGUGAUUAUUUUCAUGAUUUUGGAGUAGUCGCGUUGGGUAGGUUUGAGAUGUUAAUUAUGUGACGUAUGGUAAAUUAGUGAAUGAAGUUUAAAUUUAGUAUUUGAAAAUGUCUAAACAAUAAUAUUAUUAGUAUUACUUAUGCCGAAUUAUAAUUGUUUGAUAAAAUUAAUGGUAGGCUAUAUACGAUAGUUUAGAGUGGUAUGUAAUUUAAUCUAGUCACGUGGUCUAAAAAGUGAUGUGCUUUUAUUCUUGUUCUAGAUUUAAAUUCCUUGGACCACUGAGUUUAGAAUUUAAUUAAUUAACUGAUAAGUUGUGUUUAGGCUAAUCGUGUUAAAUGUAUAUAGUUUGUUGUUUCGUGAUGUUUGCGUUAGAUUUGGUUAAUCUAGCGAAGCGUAAUCAUCACGCUUAGUCGUAUGUUGAUAACUAGUGUUUCCGUACGAAAGUGUACAACGCCUUGCCGCUAGGUGUUUAAUUCGCUAUCGCGUAGCACUAUUUAGGUUUGUGAUAUUCCUGUCUAUAUGCAUUCAUGUGCAUAAUGCAUUUCAUUCAGGUACGUGAAUUAACCACGUGAUGCGGAAGACGAGCCAAGUCGACCCCAAGCGCGGGCUACUCCUCAUGGUGAUGCUGAUGGACGAACCUGCCUGACCAAGUGCUAGGACAAGGAUGAUCGUCAAGUGGUCGUCGUCUAACAACACUAACUUAGUGUUACCCAGGCAAGCCCCGGUGCAUGCAACCCCUUCCUUGUGUUUUUAAAUGAUUUUUACACACUUUAAGUCAAGCGAAAUGUGCAUUAGGUUUAUAGGAGUUGCUUGAAAACCCUUUGUUGCAUUGGCUACCUUGAUAUCCGUUCCUAUUAUAGAUACUUCUUUGGAAGUAUCAAAUGAUUUACAAAAUUUGCUUAGCUCUGCUUAGAUCUUGUGGAUAGAGGUUGUCUUUUGCAUUAAGGCCUAGCUCAGGGGUUAUCCUGAGGAAGGAUGACUUCUACCUGCAAGAAUAUUUUCAUUGGGAGCGUGGUGGGAUCUUACUGCAAAGUUCCCUAUAAUGCUCUUUUCAUCCUAAGGAACACAAAACUAUCAUAAGGAUGGAAAUACAUAAAUCGAGACUUGGGUUAGGAACAGGUGAUGUUCUACCCAGAUUAAUUAAGGAUUAUAGCGAAUGUAGGCUUGAUGAUCGAGGACCUUUUAACUGGUCACAUGCCUCAUCAUGGGUAAGCUUAGCCUCGGGCAGACUAAUACCAGAAUAAGACAACACGCAAUAGGAGUGGAGAGAUGGCGAGAGUAGCGUGUACCCUCCAUGGCAAGAGGCUGGACGGUGGUGUAUCUGUGCUCUCGGUUUGCGUGAACCUAAUAUGGUGUUAAGAACCAAACUGGCUAGUUAACAUAUGCAAGGGUUAAGUGCUACAUAUGUCGUGUGAUUGGAGAUCCCCAGGUGGGUAUUAAUCGAUUCAGGAUCGCCGUUACUUCUCGGAUAUGAAGACUUGGUCACUGACUUGCAAUCUAAGUCAAGGAUGGAAUCAUAAUGAGCAAAAAUCAUGUUGUAUUGAUUAAAGUGAUGAUGAAAUAAGACUAGAUGCAAACAAGGUCUAUUAAUACUUAAUCUAGCAUUAAAAUGUUGAAAGUAAGGACUCAUUUUAGUAAGCUUUCUGCAAACUAUUAAUGUUGAUUCUUGCUAAAAGCCUUUCCUUGACUCCCAAAUCCAGCAUAUCCUUGAGAGUCUUUUGGUAAGUCUUGCUGAGUACUUGCGUACUUAGGGUUUUAUUCCCAUUAUUGCUGCAGGAUACGAGUCGCUUGGAUUGUGAUUGGUAUUAAGCGUCGUUGGGCAUGGCCUUCUUAUAAGUCUAAGUAACUCUUCUAUACUUCUUAUUGAGGAUGGUCAAUUGAGCUAGCAUAUAUAUUCCAAACUUAUAGAUAAUUUAUAAUAUUUCAUAGUUUAUUUCUUUGAAUCACUUUUGUAAUCACUCCGGUAAAUAUAAUGUAAACUUGAUGUAACUUGUAGAAUUUGGUAGUAAGAUUUCCACUGCAAAAAUGUUGGUGUGUGAUUUGUGUUUACUUAAUCUUGCGAUCUUGGUUGUAAGUGGUUUAUCCGGGGUCCUUGGGACACUUAGACGGAUCCUGUUAAGUUAUCUGGUGCACAUGCAUAGCCGUUUGAGGUCUUUGAGACAAGGACAGGUGCAUGUGGGCCCAAUAAUAUGGGAGGUUCUGCCACAGCUGGUAUCGGAGCAGGAUUAAGUAUAUACGGUCACAUACGUAUUUUCAAAACAAAAGUUUUGGUUUCGAAAAACCUAUUUUCAACUAAACACAUUGUUUGGCUUUGAAAAACAGUUUUGAAAAACUAUAAUGCUAGCGACAUCCUCUGUUAAGCCCUAAAUUAAGGACUAUCAGGUGGCUUAGAUCAAAACCACUAACCCACAAUCGAGGAUAUUGCAUACAUGUGUAAUGUUAUUUUGAGGCCAUUCAGUUUUGAAUGGAUCGACGCUCAAGGUAAGGUGAGAUGUGAGAGCAUGACCGAACAAACGUCGGUCUAGGGGAGAGCAUGAAAAGUGCUUGAUUAUAUACAUGUUCUACAUAUGUAUAUAUGAAGGCUGCGAUGUGGAGUAAUUACUUUUCUGGGAAUUCAGUAUCCUAUCGAUAUAUACGGGUAUACAGACAUGGGAAUACUAAGAAGUGUAAUGUACUUGUAACGACGCACCUACGCUCAGGUAAGAAGGUGAGUUACCAUAAUGAGUUGCCCUGUGGUUAAAGUGUGGCAACGACGUCUAUGCGUGGCUCGGCGCUUAAUGAUGAGCUGGCCUCCAUAUAGCAAUAUAUGGAGUAUAAACUGUGAUAAACUAUCAUGUGUGAAUUGCAUCAUUGGGAAAUGGGCUGUGAUGAAAAUUUUCUGCAGGUACACUAACCUCGAAAACGUAUGUGUAACUGAUGACUAGCAAAAUAUCGAGAGAGUCGUAAGUAUGCCACCGAUAUAAAAUGCUAUUGCCACAUUAUGUUGGCAAAAUCAGUGAGGACGAAUAAGACGAGCUUGCAUCCUGAUUGUUGCAUCAUGUUUGUCACCUAUACAUCAAAAUGCUUCUCUCACCUUUAUUCCAAUAACCAGUGAUUGUAGAUAAUGUGGUGUAAUGCGGUAUUAUGAACGUCAGUGAAAUAGUUAUUCUCUGUUUCCUUAGGUAAUAUGUUUAGGUGUUAUAUGUGUUUGCUCUCGUACUUGAUGUGCUGAUAGAAGGUUGGUGACUUGUUUGCUUAAACCCAAAACUAGGUCAUGUUCUUAGUUGGUGAACCAUGACCCAAAGUUGAUUUUUCCGUUAUCCCUCCAUAGCUAAACUCAUGCAAAUGGAGGUUUGGAUAAUUUCUUUAUCUAACACAAGAUGUGCAUGGGCUUAAAGUUAGGAUCUCGAGUCCGUGUUCUCGCUAUUUAAUUUGUGACGUUUUAGUUGUCAUAUUUCCAUCUUAGAUCAUGCCCUUGUUUGAUUGGCACAAGCUGAUGUCCCUUAUCCAGUUUGCCUGUUCUUAAGAAUCGCCAUGUUGCUUUAUCAAUCUAACCUAGGAAGACAUGUCCAAUCAUUUUCUUUAAUUUGGUGCCUUUGGUUUCCUCAUAUCUAUCGAAGGCAUGCCAACUUGAUUUUAUGAUUAUUUUCCCCCAUAUCUAAUCAGAUACUAAUCCUUGACCUUGUUCUGUAGCAUCCCAAAAAUUCAAAUCUUGAAAUUUUCUCAAACUCGCUCUAAAUUCAAAAUGAAUUUCAAAUUUCAUUUCAAAUGUUUGUUUGUGAGUUGAUAUCAACAAAUAAAUUAUAGUGGUCUAUAUUCUCUCCAAAAUCCUCCUCAAAAUAUCCUACAAAUAUUUCCCAAGUGAUCACCCUCAAAUUCUUUUCUGAAAUACUGCCCAGAUAUUUCUCCAGUGAUCCCCCUCAAAAUCUUCCAGAAAUACCGCCCAGAUAUUUCUCGAGUAAUCCCCUUCAAGUUCUUUCCAGAAAUACUGCCCAAAUAUUCUACCGAUAUAUCUCCAAAUAUUUUCCUCUUGAGAAAUACCUUCAGAAUCAUUUUUCAAGUCCCCACAAAUAUUUUCUUCAUAACUUUCCUUAUGCUCAUACGUAUACGUAUGCCUCUGGUGUCAUACGGUGAGCUCUACAAGCUAAUCUCACUCAUACAAGACAAAUACAUGCUAAUCUCCCACUAAUCCUCUCAUCCUCCCACUAAUCCUCUCAUCCCUUCCCCUAAUCCCCCCACCAUGGCUAUAAAUAGAGGGGCAAGGGCCUCCUCUCAUCCCACCCUAAGCCAUUUCAUGGCAACUCUCUUCCCCCCCCCCACACACACCCACUCCAUGUUCCACACAAGCACACACUAGCUCAAGGAUCGUUCGGUCGUUCUUCGAUCGUUCGUCCACCUGUUCUUAGUUUGUUCGUUCGUUCGUCCGAUCGUUCGUCUGAUCGUUCAUGGUUCGUUCGUCCGUUCGUCCGAUCGUUAGAUCGUUCGUCCGUUCGUUCGUCCAAAUAAUCUUUGUUCAGUCGUUAUGCUGCCGAAAUUUCGAUCGUUCGUUCGUUCGAUCAUUCGAUCGUUCAUCGUUCGUCCAUAGUUCCUAUUCAUCGUUCAUUGUUCGUUCAUAGUCCCUAUUCAUCGUUCUUCUAGAUAAUCUUUGUCCUGCCGUUAUGCUACCGAAAUUCCGAUCGUUCGUUCGUCCGAUCAUUCGAUCGUUCGUCCGUUCGUUCAUAGUUCUUGUUCAUCAUUCAUAGUUCGUUCAUCGUCACUAUUCAUCGUUCAUCGUUCGUUCAUACGAACUAUUCACCAUUACUAUUCAUCAUCAUUACUAUUCGUCGUUCCUAUUUAUCAUCGUUACUAUUCAUCAAUGAUAUCUAUAAUAACUUUUUCGUCGUCCCUAUUCACCGUUACUAUUCAUCGUUACUAUUUAUCGAAUUUCAACUACUCAUCUGUCAUGUUGUCCAGUCCACCUAAGACUAGCCAGACCCAUAUUCCAGUCAUACGAACUCCAGUGACUGUGAUUUUCCUUACAGUAGGGAACUUCCCAUCUAGUCACCCAUCCCAGGUUUCUCCAAGUUGAGCACGCUUAACUUUGAGAUUCCUUCGAACCAGGCUUCCAAACUCAGAUUCCAAUAAUUCUUGUUUUUAAAUUCUUACCGAAUUAUUCUCUAUCCAACCAUGCAUCCCUUAAGCAUGGUUCAUGUUCCAGAAAACUCCCAAAAUACUCUUGUCCCAUAUUCUGCAUAUAACUCUACUGUUCAUACUAAGUCAGACGAUUCAUUCGUCACUAUUCUCACCAACAGUGAACUUCACUUUGCUACACCACAUACACUCAGCUAUAAAUACACCCAGCUACCCUCUCCCUCUCCACACACACUCAACACCCUCAGCCAAGGCAAACACCCCACCCACUCAGUUACUCCGCUCCGCCAGCUACACGCAUAGUGUCGCUUCGCCUCCAGUCCACCCUCCUGGUAAGCACCUCCACUCCACCACCAGUAGUAUCUCAACACCACAUGACACAGAUUCUACUCAAGACUCUACCCAUCCAUAUAUCACCACUCUGACUACUAUACUAAAUAUUUGUUGGUAUACUUGCUGAUUUGUAUGUUUGCUUGUUCAUGUUGGAUAGUUAACGGAGUGUUCGUGCCGUCUCGUGGAGGCUAGAUCUGCAAGUCUACGCCAGGCGGUGGACCUAGAAGCCAGUUCUGCGAGCUCCCCUUCCCCCUUCGCCGGAUAAGCACGGCAAGCUCACUGGAUCCCUUUGAUGCAUAAAUUACCUAUGUUGUACAACCACAACCCUCAGCCUAUUAUUUUAUGCAUGAUAUGAUUUUGAGACAAGUUAUUAUGGCCACCCAGCCGCUUGUCGCAAUCAAUCCUUGAUAUAUUUGUUACAAAUGAUUUGAGAAAAGGUGUGAGUUUUCAAAAGAAAAUGCUUUUCAAAAUGUGUAUGAUGAAGGGUUUUCACCCUCAUCACCUUUGAGUAGGGAUGAUCAGGGACUCCCUGGUUUAGGGGAGGGCCUAAGGUGAUGGCUCAGCUAGUUUAGGUGUGAGCAGAAGGAUUGUCCCCUCACAUAAGGACCAGUUUGUCAUCCUUCACUACCUGUACUCGUGAUAAGUACAACCACUCGAGACUGUAUGGGCGGUCACUCAAUCUGAACUCGUACGGUCCAAACCCCAGGGUUAUGAAGGCUAGGGAGCACCAGGAGGAUAAGGAGGGGGAAUGUUUUGUUCGGUUUGGACAUGGCGGUGGCCUGACUCCUUCCAGUAUAACCGUUAAGGUAAGGACGUGCGAAGAAAGAAAGAGAUUCGGGUUCGGAUCUCAUUGGCCAUGAGAUCGCAGAACCGGACUAGUGGGUAAAGUGUACCCCUCUGCGCAGAGUUCAAACCUAUUCGAAUAGUCUGUGUCCACAGGAAUGGACGAGUCUGGUGUGGUAUGGCAAUUAGUGUUUUGCUUUAAAAAAGGGUGCGUUUGAGAAAAGUGGUUUUUAAAAGGUCCGGCGGUUGAGCCGUGAGCUAUGGUGGACGGGAAGUCCAGUAGCUGUUUUUGAAAAUGAAAACUAGUGGGAAACUGCUGAGAUACCUGGAUGGUUUAGUCCAGGGGAUUUUAUUCUAUAUUGAAAAACUUCCUGCUCCUUUAGGAGAGGAUGCGCUUUAAAAAAUACAAAAUGUUUUACAAAACAACCCUGCAUAAAAUAUUGUUGUUUCUGCAAAAUAUCCUGAGCUCCACAUAUUCCAUGCAUUAUAUCUGAUUUCCAAGGUGGGCUGCUGAGUAUGUUUGUACUCACCCUUGCUUAUUUGUUGUUUUCCAAAAAAAGGAGAUUGGGUAAGAGUUAUGACUGUUCCCAACCUUGCAUGUGGCUGUUGGACCGCUGAUUUGCUUCGCUACGUAUAUCGGGCUGCUUCAGCCCCACUCUGAUGAUAUGGAGUUGAUCGCCACCUUUAUAGGUUUGUCUCGUUUAAGCAGAUAUGUAGUCAUCUGAUGUAUAAAUGUGUUUACUAGCCUCCUGGGACUAGUAAUUGUAUCACAUUUGAGUCCCAGAGGAUUGGGGCGCUUCAUAAUCUCUAUGGUGGGCAUAGAAAUAUGCUUGGGGCUGAAUUAACAGUCUCCCAUCAUACUCCUUUCAUCAAGUUUAGGUUAUGGUCAUACCUUGUUCGUUUCAUCGGGCCAUAAUCUAUUUGGCUCUCUACUUGUAAUUAUUCUUACAGGUGGAGUCUCUUUAUAUAUUAUCAUACUGGCUCAGUCUAUUUGUGCUGCGUGAGAUUUCUUAUUGGUUACGUCUAGUAAUGGUGUUGUGACUAAAAUUGAUGGUGCCACGACAAAACUGAGGGCCUUCUGUGUGUGCGCACACAUGGUCGUGCUGCUCAGCACGCGCUGGUAUCACGAUUAGUAGUUGUAAUCCAUUAUGAGACUAGUGUUAUCUUGGCACAAUCUAUUUCUGCUAUGCGAGAUUCAUUAUUGGUGCCAGUUCGAUAAUGGUGUCUCGAUUAAGGACUUAUGGUGCCUCCGCGAAACUGAGAGCCUCCUGUGAAUGCGCACACAGGAUUUUGCUGCUUGGCGCAUGCGAUAUCUAAGUCUCUAGUCAAGAUCAGUUAUGAAAUUACACUAAUGUGUUAUCUUCCGUGGACCUUCCCUUGAAACGAUUUGGUGUUGUUUAUCGAAAUGAUCAAGCAACAUCUAUCAUCUUUGUUGGAUAAAAAGGGCAUACCAUUUUCUUGAUGGUCUCUUUUCCCUUGACUUUGAUGGUGACUUCACACAUACACGUUCCCUUUGCAUCCUUUCUUGUAAAGGUGAAGCCCUGAAGCUUUCUAGUGUUGAGAGACAACUGAUUAGCUCUCAAAAUAGAGACAUGUUUCCCCUACUACUGAAAUGCAGGAAUUUGUUCAUUCGCUCUCUUAUUUAAUCCAUGCAUUCCCGAACCAAGCCAGUUCAUCUCGCAUGAAGAAACAGCUGAACAACCUGACCAAAUGAAUUUCUACCCAAAUGCAUGACCUUUUGCUAGAAAAUGUGAACUCUCAACUCUUGGCUUACCGAUGGUACUGAGAGGACCUACUCAAGGUCAAAAGUAAUUCAACAAGUUGGUUUAACUAACUUGUAACUGCUCAAUGAACAAAGGUUUAGUUUAGAGAUCGUUUUAUCAAGUUGUCUAAACUCACUUUUGUACAACCCCUCUUAAGGAAGUGUUUAUAAGAACCGAGAUUAAGUCGGCCAAUAACCACCUAAUCAUCGCUCUAGUCAUGCCUCGAUCGCGUCACGUGUGCUUUUCCAGCAUGUGUGAUCAAGUCGAGCCGUGCUAAGUAUUUGAUGAAAUGGGUUGGUCGUGAAGUCAACAUCAACGGAUCUCUUCAUUGAUAUUUUUUCGAGUCUCUAUCAUUUUUCUUGAACUUGGAUUUUCUGGCUAACACGAGUUAACUGUGAUGUUAUUCGACAUUCACACCUGUCUCGUGUGCUAUGAACUUACUGUGACCACUUGUUGGUAAACCUCUUUCUGUGUGUUUUACCCAAGAGGUUGCAUGUGGUUCUGUUUGGGUAAAGUCGCAUAUUUGUCGCUCGCCCAACAGACUUAGAUAGUACAGUGUCAUCGGAAAAAAGCAAACUGCACACAGGGGACCUUAUGUGUUCUUCUGGCAGACAUCAUCUCUAUUGGUGGACAUCUCUAAAAUUAGCUUAAGGCGAUAUAUGUUAUGUCCACUAAAGAAACCCCAUCCUAAGGCACUCGCCUUUGCUUGGAACUGCCUUAUGAUUAUCGCUGGAAUGGACAAGGGUUACAUGCUUCUCUACUCUUAAAAGUCUUUCGCUACGAAUCUUGGGACGAGAUUCUUUUAAGGGGGAGGGCUGUAACACCAUAGGUGUUAUCUCCCGUUAAACAACGAUUAUGGAUUUAAGCGCGGGAUGUCAGUAAAUAAAGUGGACACUAAAUUAUAAUCAUCUCGCAAAAGUUCAAGUUUGGUGCCAUUUUCAUUUCGAUAAUCUACGCACUUAAAAAGGGUUCAUGAAGCUUUUGAAUUAUCGAAUCUUCACCGCUGGCGAAUUUUGAACUGAUCGGAUCACGUGCGUAAGAAUGCGAAAAUCAGAAAACUUCUGAUUUUAUGUAAAAUUUGGAGCCCGCGCUGUCCGAACUGAACGAUGCGCCAGCUGAUUAAGUGAAUCGUUCCUCUCAGCAUGUGAUCGUUGGCGUCAGAUCAAAUGAUCGAUCACUGGUGAGGAUCGUAAAAAUUAGACGGAACUAAAUAACAGUCUCUCUGUCUUAAUCUAUUUCGUCUGUUGCGAGUUCGACAUUGUUUUUAUUUAUCCGGGCUCUUCCUAAAUUUUCAUGAUGUUCGGAACAUAGUUGUUCCGAAAAUCGGUGCGUCCGGUGAUUAUUUAAAAUUCAUCGCUCGCGUGAAUACGAAUUUGGAAAUUCAGUCCAGUCCUCCGAUUUCAUCUCAAACAGAUUAAGUAGAACUCGACGACUAUGUUUUCGGUGUAAAAUAAUUUAGUCCCCUUUUGUCAUCCGUUACAUCGCGUCUACGGAGUUUUAAUGGAAUUGUUCUCUAGUCGAGUGUUCGAGUAGCGAACGGAAUUCGUUUAAAGCCAACUGCAUCAAAUGCAGAUUAAAAUAUCAAAGUCGAUACUAUGGUUCUAUCCGAUCACCCACAUCCAAAUGUUUAAAUAUAUAACAGGUAAAAAUUCAUCUGACCUCGCGAAAAUGCUCAUCAAUUCAAACUUCGUCUAGAUAUUGUGCCAUGAUAGUGCCUUACUAGGACUCGUUUUGACUGUCAGCAAUUCAGCCGAGCUCCCUCGUCGUGGAUUCUCCCUGUGCGCGCGCUCGUCCUGUGCCGAGGUCCGAUCUCGCUUGCGCUCUGACCGCGCCCUUGCUGCCGGUGCUCGCCGACCGCGGCCGUCCUGCUCCUUGCUCCGACCAAGCUCGCCCGCGACGCCCAGUGUGCUGCCUACUCUGCUCGUCGAGCCCAUGUCGAGCUCCCCUGCGCGUUGGUCGCCGAGUCCUCUCUGCUCGCCUCCUACUUCUCCUCCGUCGGAGCUCGCUGGUGCCAUUCCUUGGAAGAUUCGCGCUCGCCCAGGUCGUCCGUUGUUCCCAGCACCCUCAGCCGUCGUGCCCUUCCUGCCCGGUCACGCAAACGUUGUGUUUGCCCUGAUCACAAAGCCUUUGUGUUCUCGCCGCGCCUGUAUAACCCCAGUUGUGACGUCAUGCACCCUCCAGUCGUUGACGUCGUGCCUCGCAUCCCGCUUAUUCGAUGAAACACUUAAACCCAUAGACUGUCGACGCACUGCUGCCGUACACGGCUGUCUCCGUCACUUGCGUCAGCUCGCCAGACCUGUAGCUCUAUAUACGUCACUCUCCCGUAUCGUCUUCGAGCACGUCGAACCCCGAAUCCUGGACGUUAGGCAAAAAUAAGCGAGGUACGUGUGCAUCGCUUAUCAAGUGCUCGAUCGAAGACUUCAAUCGAAGGUCGUCGUCGUUUCAUGCAUCAUCAAGAAAUUCUAAGAGUCGGGUGAAGACGGAGUUAGCAGCAUGAUGUUCACCAAGUACUCGACACAAGGGCCGAACUAGAAUCCAUGUUGUGCUCGCGGAUAGCGCGUCAGAUUUAGUAUGGUAAGCCGGUUCAUAUUUCCGUUAGUUUAAUUAUUGGAUUAAUUCGAUGAAUGCGAUGUGAUUAUUUUCAUGAUUUUGGAGUAGUCGCGUUGGGUAGGUUUGAGAUGUUAAUUAUGUGACGUAUGGUAAAUUAGUGAAUGAAGUUUAAAUUUAGUAUUUGAAAAUGUCUAAAUAAUAAUAUUAUUAGUAUUACUUAUGCCGAAUUAUAAUUGUUUGAUAAAAUUAAUGGUAGGCUAUAUAGGAUAGUUUAGAGAGGUAUGUAAUUUAUUCCAGUCACGUGGUCUAAAAAGUGAUGUGCUUUUAUUCUUGUUCUAGAUUUAAAUUCCUUAGACCACUGAGUUUAGAAUUAAAUUAAUUAACUGAUAAGUUGUGUUUAGGCUAAUCGUGUUAAAUGUAUAUAGUUUGUUGUUCCGUGAUGUUUGCGUUAGAUUCAGUUAAUCUAGCGAAGCGUAAUCAUCACGCUUAGUCGUAUGUCGAUAACUAGUGUUUCCGUACGAAAAUGUACAACGCCUUGCCGCUAGGUGUUUAAUUCGCUAUCGUGUAGCACUAUUUAGGUUUGUGAUAUUCCUGUUAAAAUGCAUUCAUGUGCAUAAUGCAUUUCAUUUAGGUACGUGAAUUAACCACGUGAUGCGGAAGACAAGCCAAGUCGACCCCAAGCGUGGGCUACUCCGCAUGGUGAUGCUGAUGGACGAACCUGCCUGACCAAGUGCUAGGACAAGGAUGAUCGUCAAGUGGUCGUCGUCUAACAACACUAACUUAGUGUUACCCAGGCAAGCCCCGGUGCAUGCAACCCCUUUCUUGUAUUUUUAAAUUAUUUUUACACACUUUAAGUCUAGCGAAAUGUGCAUUAGGUUUAUAGGAGUUGCUUGAAAACUCUUUUUUGCAUUGGCUAUCUUGAUAUCCCUUCCUAUUAUAGAUACUUCUUUGGAAGAAUCAAAUAUGAUUUACAAAAUUUGCUUAGCUCUGCUUAGAUCUUGUGGAUAGAGGUUGUCUUUUGCAUUAAGGCCUAGCUCAGGAGUUAUUCUGAGGAAGGAUGACUUCUACCUGCAAGAAUAUUUUUAUUGGGAGCAUGGUAGGAUCUUACUGUAAAGUUCCCUAUAAUGUUCUUUUCAUCCUAAGGAACACAAAAUAAUCCUAAGGAUGGAAAUACUUAAAUCGAGACUUGGGUUAGGAACAGGUGAUGUUCUACCCAGGUUGAUACACCCAGCCCAGGUGGGGUUGGCCGAGGCCCAACAAAUUAGGGUUGCUCGGAGCCCAACAGUUCAUUAAGCACACCCAACUCAGGGAAAGGCCCAAUCGCCCCAAAAGACUAGUCCAAUGGGGGAAGGGUGACUCUCCCUUUUAAAGUGGCUUCCUCCUCCCAAGUUAAGCGAGGUGGGAUAAUUCUGAGGCUCACACGGUCGUCGUCCGACUACAAUUGGGUCAAUUGGGCCAAUUGCGUCUUUGCCAACGGUAAUAGUGGAGGAUGUCCUCAUCAUUCCCACCUUCUUAAAAUGAGCCCUAGCUCUGAUACCAGAUGAUACACCCAGCCCAGGUGGGGUUGGCCGAGGCCCAACAAAUUAGGGUUGCCCGGAGCCCAACAGUUCAUUAAGCACACCCAACUCAGGGAAAGGCCCAAUCGCCCCAAAAGACUAGUUCAAUGGGGGAAGGGUGACUCUCCAUUUCAAAGUGGUUUCCUCCUCCCAAGUUAAGCGAGGUGGGAUAAUUCUGAGGCUCACACGGUCGCUGUCCGACUACAAUUGGGUCAACUGGGCCAAUUGCGUCU
This 61769-nucleotide long non-coding RNA is filed under the name Zea mays. RNAcentral describes it as "long non-coding RNA (ZMAY_LNC000953)". The record is from RNAcentral. Lineage: Eukaryota; Viridiplantae; Streptophyta; Magnoliopsida; Poales; Poaceae.